AAUAAAGUUCCAAGGCUGUAAGUUCAUCGAUUCCCUAAAAAGAAAAAAACAAUUUACUGACAGCAGUAUUAUUGAUUGAAAGAACUGCUUAGAACCUUUGGAGGAUUUAGUAACUUCAACUUGAAUAUAUUUGUCUUUUGACCACCUAACCAAAAUGAGAGGAUAGAACUAGAAGUUCCUGUGACUUUGUCAAUUAGGCAUCAGAAAUAAGUAAAAAGUAAAAUGAGAAUCUUUCAUUCAUCUAUGGUUGCUGGGGAAUAAUAUAUUUCAACAAGAGGAGAGAGAAUUUAUGAUUUCAUUUUGGGGAUUUCAACCAUUUUAACUCUUGUUUGAUCUUUUUGGGUGUCCAGAUGUUGAUAGAUAGUUACAGGGAGUAAAUGAGAGAAUCCUUUAUGGUUGAAAUGUCACUAUUUCUUAAGAUUUGCCUGCAGGAACUGACAUGUGCUUAUUUAAUUUAACAGGUUAAAAAAAAAAAAAAAACUAUUUGAGUGUUUCUUCCAUACCUAGUCUCUCCUUCAAAGUUAAUUUUUAUUCUCUUUUUUGCAAGAAAAUAUAUUAUGUCAAUUGAAAGUCUUAAACAAAAUUUUGAAUGAUUCCCAAUUAUAAUAUGUGCUUACAACCACAAGAACAUAAAAUAAAAGUAUAAAAAAAAUAAACCUGAAAAGAUUCUUUCCACAUGAAGAAGAAGAAGAAGUAGAGAAAUAGUGAUAGAUCUAACCUAAAAACAAAAAUAGCGAUGGUAGCGAUGGUCCACUUCUUGCCUGUUUUUGUUUGGGCUUCCUCCUGCAUUUUGUCCUCUACUUUUCAAAUGGGGAAGACGCCAAUUAUUUAACCUGUUUUUGUUGUCAAUUUCCUUCUUUUUAUUUCUCUUUUUCCAAAUCUACAUGUAUGUAUAUUUUGUCUGCUUUGGAAUUUUUUAUCUACUGAUAAUUUAAUUUUAAUUUUUACCUUAUGCUUUCAUUUUAUUUUACAUUUUAAAAGGGGUUCUUUUAAUUUCAGGCCAUUUACCCUUUCUUGCUGACAGCAACAAUUUAGUUACCAUCGGUUUGUUUGCACAAAUGUUCAUUCCUUUCUAAAUAUCAUUCCACUAGAGUUUCACGUGAAUGGUAGUAAUAAAUAACAAAUAAUAAGAACUUAAUGUGAUAAAAAUAGUUUUGGUAAAGGUUGAAACAAACACAUUAUUUUACGAUUUAUUUUUUAGUUUCUACAACCACAUUGUAGUGACACUCGAUUUUAGGGUCAAUUUAUUAAAGAAAGUAAAAUUAUUUUUUCUCUACGUUGUGGGGUCUAGUUUUUAUUCGUUUUUUAGGUUUUGAAAUUUACAUUUUUAUUUCUUAAAUUUUAAAUUUAGUUUUGUUCUAUAUCUUAAAAUGCUAUUUUACCUUAUAAUUAUAUGAUUGUUCUGUAUUAGUAUUAAAGGGAGAACGAGUGUUAUGCGAAAGACGUACUGAAAUUUAUGGAUAGAAUUCACACAAUAGUGUGAGAUUAUUGCAUUAAUUUGAAUUAUUUUGAGGAUGGAUAUUUUUAUCCUAAAAGAAAAGAAAGGAAAAGAGGCCAAUCAUGAGGGAGGCUUUUACUCUUGGCUUUAUGCACUUUGAAUUUUGCAUAAUUUUCUGUCCACAUUAAUUUUUCCCAUAACAAAGAGAAAUCUUGUCCACUCGAUUCUCUUCUUAUAAAGUAUCCAAUUAGUGUUCUUCCAAAUUUUGUUAAUACCAACAAAUUUGAGCCCUAAAAGCUAUAUCAUUUUAAAUUCCCAAGUUGAGAUUUAUUUAUUUAGAAAUUCUCUCUAUUUAGAGGCCACCUACAGCUUUCAUUUGUAAGGAUCAAGAUUGCUGAGCUGAAAAAUAAGUGCUUUAUCAUAUUAUAGGAUUCUUUUUUUAAAUUAAAAAAAAUACUAACAAAAUCCAAUUAGAAUUCUUUUAACUAUAAUUCAACUUGAUAUGUUCAGAUCUUUUACAUUAACCCAUCUUCAUAAUUUACCCACCAACGUUUAAAUAAUAUAGUUGUAAAUAUAUUUUUAUUUAGCUUUGGCUCACUUUGUUGACGUAUUUUAAAAAUAUUCAUUUUAUUUUUUGUAUUUUAAAAAUUAUUCUCGGUUCUUAGGUAUGGAAAAGAAAAUGAAAAUAAAUGAAACAAUAUAAAGUAUAUGAACAAAAAUGGAUCUACAUAUAUUGUUUUUUAUGAGUUGAAGAAAUGUUAAAAGUAUUUUUCUCUAACUUAUUUGAUUUGAAAGAUUUUGUUUAUAAUAUGAAUAUUUGGGUCAAAAUUAGAACCUUUUAAGAGACUAUGAACAAAAUUGGAAAAUAAUAUAAAUUCUUUUAGAAUCAAAAUGCAGUGGUACUCUUUCAAUUGUUCAGCUAGAGACUAUGACUAUAAAUGUUAUAAUUAGCCAUUAAAAGAGAGUAACCCAGCUAGCCUACAAAGCAAGACAAAACUUAUAUGUUUGUUUUUAUAGGGUAGCCCACACCUUUGACCAAAUAACUCAUUUUUAAUUAAUUGAGUUCACCAUUAAUGCAUCAGUUUUUAUGACAAAUUAAUGGGUUUCAUGGAAUAAUAAUAAUAAUCUUUCCAUUUCAAACAAAUUUGUUUAGAAAUUAUUUUAUUUUUGAUAAUCAAUAAACCCCAACUUGUUUGUGGACACAAAGGAGUUUUGAUGAUACAAUAGUAACCAACAUAAACAUUAUAUUAAAAAAGAACAUCGUUAUUCCACUUCAAAAGUACAAACUAUACUAAUAUUUAUAACAAUAAUAAUCCAUGGUGAUUCACUGAGCUACUUGUUCAAGUACUGGCUUUGGAGUGGACAAACUUAGCUGCAAAUCAGGUUGAUGAUGAUGACGAUGAUGAUGAUGAUUGGUUGUUGUUUGAAAAUUGUUGAUCGUAAUUGAGCUUGAAGAUUUGUUGAUGGGGGAUUGAAGAAACUUGAAAUAUGGCUCAUGAUGACGUUGAUUAUAAUGAUACUCAAUCCAAUUGAGAUUUGUUAAUUCUGAAAUAUUUGGAAUUGGAGUUGGAUUCCCAAAGGAAAUAUUAUUGGAUGAAGCUGGUUGGAUAUUAUAAUUAUUAUUGGUUGGUUUCAAAUUGUUGUUGAUGCUGCUGCUGCUGCUGCUGCCUUUUUCAACCACUUGCACUGUCAAUUUGUCCCUUGCUGCAGCACCCUGUUGUCAUUCAUAAUAAACCAUAAACACACAUUUUUCUUUUGUAGUAUAUAGAGUAGUGAAAGUCAUUUACAAUCCCAAUAUUCAAAACCUAAUCAUCAUUGAAUUUGACACCAACCCUACAAAAAAGAAUCAUUCUAAAACACACAACAAUGAAAGGAUUAAAUUGAAAAAAACAACUCAAUUAGCUUUUCUGUUUAUUAUUUGGUUAUUGGAGAACCUUAGAAUUUCAUUUCUGUAGUUUAUAAUUAUAAUUCAGUUUUUAGGAUUUUAUCAAACCAUAUUUACUUAAAUUCUAAUUAAUAUUGAAUUGUAUUUUACUUUAGUGAGUUUUAGUUUAGUAUUAUAUAUUAUAUAGAUACGAACUGGUAUUUAUAUUAAACAAUUAGUUGUUAAACUUCACCUUCCUUCUCGUAUAUAUUUAUUAUCAUUGAGUAUUAUAUGUGUUUAAUUAAUGACUAGUCAAUAAAAAAGGAAAGUCUUAUACGUAUGCAAAUGGGUUAUUUAAAAGUAAUAGAAUAGUGUGUAUUAUUAUUUAUAUUGGAAGAGGAAUAUAAAACAUUAGUGACGAACUAAUUAAAUUUAAGUAUAUAUUGACAAUAUUGGCUUUUGUCUUUUAUUUAUAUGAAUAUUCACUUACUUAGAAAAUUGGGUUAUCAUUCAAAAUUCAAUCUUUGGCAAUUGGCACAGAGAAAAAACAGAAAUAAAAUAUGUGAAAAAUUAGAGAGUUUUGAGAGGGGGAAGUUUACGUCGAAAAGGCUGGGACGACGCUGUUUUCUUUUGUUGAGAGUUGUGAGUCGUAGAAAGUAUUUUUGUGCAUGACUAGCUACUUGAGUCGGAGUUCUUGUCGUCACAAAUUUCCUCGAAAUUCCUCUCCAAUCUCCUUUUCCAAGCUUUUCUAACCCAAUUAGAAACACCUUAUGCUCCUCUUCACUCCAUGGUACACCUAUUCAAAUACCAAAAACAUCCCGAGCUAGUAAGUUGGUGAAACGAUAAAACUAAUUAUAUAAUCAGCUAGAACGGAGAAAAGAUGAAAUGAUAUUCCUAGCUAGAAUUCAAGCAUGCAAUUUAAUGCUUUAAUACCAUAAUUAACCUAAAAAAAUAAGAAAUAAGAAUAGCCAUAUGACCAAAACGAAAAGGAAAAAGAAUAAUUAAAAGAAGAAAAACCAUGUUUUUGUUUUGAAUCUUUUGAAUUCAUGAUGAAUGAUUCAGUACAGUGCAAGAAAAAUUACCUUUUUUUCUUUCAUGGGUUUUGGCGACGAGGCCGUCUGAGAGAUAUCCAUUUGACAAUUUCUCAGAAGAAGAAGAGGACGAUAAAGAUGAAGAAGCCGAAGAAGAAGAAGAAGGCAAAGAAUCCAAACUAAUACUCUUCUUCAACAAGGUGGUAUGAUGAUGAUGAUGAUGAGUUGUUGUUCCAUUAUCAAUGAGUUGAACUCCAAAUAACUUAAACUUGGUUUCUUUAUGCUUUUGAAUGGUGCAAGUUCUUGAAUUGUGACCCACAUUCCCACAGUGUGAGCAUUUCCUCACCAUCUCUCUCUCUAUCUCUCUCUCUCUCUCUCAAAUGGAAUCUCAAACUAACACCAAAUUCUUUCAAAAGUAUAAUAUAAAGGGUUUAAAAAGGAAGGGGUAGCUGUGUUGUUGUUUUGAUUAAAUUAAAUUAAAUCAAAUCAAAUCAAUAGGGUUUGUGUUAAUUAUUAAUUAGUGAAGAAAGAGAUAUGAUCCUCUCCUCCUCCUAGGUUCUUUCUUUAAUGAUUAUUGACGUAAAUAGCAAGUCAAGAGGUGUGUGUGUUUGUGUCUCAUUGGAUCAUAUUCUUUUUCUUAUAUGAUAAUAAUAAUGAUAUGAUAAAACUUAUCCUAAAAAUGGCAUCUUUUUUAAAACUCCCACAUGACCAACGUGACCUUAUAUUUGUCCCAUUCUUUCUCAUAUCUCUCUAUUUUAUUUUAUUCUUUCUAUCCAUUUUCACCUUUUCUUUCUUUCUUUCUUUCUUUUUACUCUCAUUUCUACUUAUUCUAAGUAAGUUAGAUUACAUAUUUGCACACGAAUAGUUUGAAAAUUUUAAGGGUUUUUCUUUAAUCCUAAUAAUACUUCAUUUGAAUUUUUAAAGAAUUUUUUAUACCUAACAAUAGUUUUUGAAAUAUUUAUAAAAAAUUAACAGUAAUAAUACUAAAACUUUUAGAAAUUUAUCAAAAAAUAUAUAUAGUAAAUUUGACAUUCUAUCCAUGUAAAUAUAAGUAAAUAUUUUAAUUUAUUUUACUACUUUAAAAAAUGCUCGAAAAAUUGUAGUAGAAAAUAUUUACAAAAUUUAAAAUUUUAUCAAUUAUGGAUGUAUAUUAUUUGAAGGUGUCUUUUUUUAUUUUUUAAGUAUGAAACAUAAUUUUUUAAAAAAGCUUAAGAAGAUAUGUUUAAUUUUUUUUCUUUAAAUUACUAUUAUUUGUUAUUGAAAUUGGGGUGACCACAAAAUUCCCACCAUACAUUAUUGUGAUGGGAAAAAGGGAGUGAUGUUGAUACCAACCAACAAAACCCUAUUUUUAGUUGGAGAUUUGCCCAAAAAAAAAAAAAGAAGAAAUUUGAAAUAAUUUCUUGAAGAUUGCUCCAUAUAAAAAAAGAUGGGAUAAAAAAGAGAAUGAUUACAAGCAAGUUGGCAGAACAACUACUGAAAUAUCAACAUUCAACACAUUGUGACCAUACAUUUUUGUGGAAGCUAUUUCCAUUGAUUAUAAACUUCCAAAUCAAACAUUUCCAUACAUUCCCUACACACACACACAAAAAUACCAACUGUUUCUUUUAGAUUUUCAACUUUGUUAACUAUCACGUUAAUGUGAUAUAUAUGUAUUCAAUUUUCUUAACAUAUUAGUUAACUUGUCAAGUUGGCAAAAACCUUAAUUUCAAUAGUAUUUUUGGAAAGCAUUUUAACCUAUAGUUUUUAAGACGAAGGACAAAAAUGAAUUCCAUAUGAGUCUAAAGUUCAUUAAUUCUUUUGUAUAUGAUAAGAAAGGUAAGGCAUUGGCCAUCAAAUCUCACCAUUUAGAAAUCCCAUGUUGUCUCCAACAUGGUGGACCAAAUUUCCAUACCCACAAUAUCAUUAUCCCCUCUCUCUCUAUAUAUAUAUAUAAACUAUAUUAUUACUAUUUCUAUAUACUUUGCAUAAAUAAUAAUAAUAAUGCUUUGUGUUUGUCUAACAUGAGACAACUAAUUAACAACUUAUUAUAAUCUCAUUCUCUUUAAACAUAAAACCCUAAUUCACAUUAACCCAACUUGUCCCUGUACUAUUGUUCUAAUAAUAGCAUUUUUCACAUUGCUAUAUAUUUAAUCAUCCAAAAAGUAUUAUUUAAUUGAUUAUAAUUAAUUAGGUGACAAUUUUGUUAGAAUAUAUAUAAGUGAAUUAGCGAAUUAAAUUUAUGAAGAGAUUAUAUAUAUAUUUUUUUUAACCUUUUCAAAUGGUAAAAAGAAUUACUAACACAAUUUAUUAUUUACUUGAGUAUUAAGCAUCAUAUUUUAGGGAGGUGAAAAUGUUUUCUCUACCCAACAUUUACUAAUUAACUCUUUUGUUUUUACUGACCCUUUUCAAACUUUACACCAAAAAUAUCGUAAAGUAGUUUUAAUUUAAGCAUAUAUAUAUAUAGGGUGUGAAAAUGAUAAUGAUGCAUCUUUUUCUUUUAUAAAGUAGUUUGACUUAAUCACCUCUCCCCAUUUCAAUAUUCUUUUCGAUAAUUAAUCAAUGGACUUUCCCUUACCUGCACUCAUCUCGUUUUAAUAUUAAAAACUAAAAUAUCACAUAUACAAACUGCACCAAUCGAUGAUAAGUACUAAUAUCUGUCCAAGAAAUAUGUUUUUUUCUAAGUAAUUAAGAAACCAUCAUGUAUAACCACACUAAUUAAUUAAUUUACUUAAUCUCCUGUUUCUUUGGCCUAAUUAUUAAAAUCCUAGUUGCAAUCUGAAAAGGUGUAGUAUAAAUUAAUUAUACACAUCACACUUUGAAUGUAACCUUUUCUUGUUCCCUUCAUUUCUCUUUAAUAUUUAAGGCCAAGUUGAGUGGAUAUCUUAUUAAUUUAUCAAAAUUAAACUCUAAUAUAUAUUGGUGAAUUUGACUGCUACUUUGGUUUCUACUUUGAUAUAAAAUUAGCAUAUGACAUAAAAAUAAUUAACUAAGUUGUUUUUUAUUCACUGUCGUCUAGUGAGUGAAGGAAGAUAGUUAAAGUAACACAUAAUGUAAGUUAUUAUAUGUUACAAAAUUAAAGCAUUAUCAUUUAAAAUAAUGGGAAUUAAAUUAUAAAUUUAAUAAAUCUUUCCAAACCAUAUAUUAUACUUUUAAUUGAAUUUUACAUUUAAUUGGAUUUUAAACUUUCAAUUUGACUAACCCAUUUAAAUUUUUAGGACUAAAUUUGUAAAUCUAAUAUGAAAUUAAUAUGAUUCAAGCCUAUUAAUUUAAAACAUUGUUGAGUUUCUAUGUAUGAAAUUAUGGUGAAUCUUCUCGAAGAUAGUGACUAAAUAAAAUUAAUUAUCACAUUUGCUAUAGUGACGACUAAAUAAAUAAAGUAACAAUAUCUUAAUUAAGGAAUAACGACAAAAUUAAACUUAUUACAAAUAAUUAAUAUUUAAAACGAAGCAAUAUAGAGAGAGAAGAAUCAAUUAUGGAAAUAAUAAUUAAUGGAAGUUUAAGAUAAUGUUUUAAAUUAACAAAAAAGUAUAUGGACCAAUUUGGUUCUCCAAAGUUCAAAACCCUCUAUUAAUUAAAUUAUAGACAAUUAAUUAAGAAAAUUCAACUUGAAUCUAUAUAAAAGCUUAAUUAAUUUAGAGAUAAUGACCAAAAGCUUAGGGGUUGUGUGGAGAUCAUUUGCUUUAAAAAACCCUACUUAAUUUUUUUUAAUACAAAAUAAUUAUGAGUGAUGGGACCAACUCAACAUCCAAACCAAAAUUUCUAAGGUAAUUAAUUUACAUUGUGGAUAUUAAUUAAUCAUGCCAUUUUUUAUUUCCAAAAUUAGACUUUAUUAUAAGAAAAGUUAAGUCUAACUUAAUUAAUUGAUUACAAAUUAUGAAAUUGACUAUUACACGAUAGGUUGAAGUGAUCAUAACAUAAUACUAAUGCAUAUCAAAUUAAUCUAAUUAGUGCAUCUAUGAUUCUUAAUUAUAAGAAAACAAUAGUGUUUAUAAUUAAUAAUGGAAAUAAAAUUAGACUAAUUCAUUGAAUAUGGUCUAAAUAAUCAGGUAAUUAAUUAAGGCAAUGAAUAUAAUCAAGGGAUGUUCUCUCUAUCUCCAAUAAUCAUGCAUGAUAUAGGAAAUUAAAGUUGAUUAAUUAAGAUGGUUGAAUAUUCCCUAAUGUUGACAUUCUUCUUUCUUUUUUAUUAAUUUUGCUGUAUUGAUUAAUAGUUAUUUUUUAGUCCUGACAUUAAGCUUAAUUAAUUUUACGUAUAGUUUAAGGAUGAUUAAAUUACAUGUGUGAUGUCACUUGAAAAUGUGUUGAUUAUUUAAAUUAUAAGCAACCAUAUUAUUGCAUAUGAAAUGAAAUUAAACACUAAUUAAUUUGCUCUUGCUCUCAUGAUUAAUAUAAUUAAAUUAGCCUCUUUAGGUUACGUGAUGCAUCUGCCCUCUAACUUAUCUUCAAUUGGUUUAUUAGAGUGAUAUAUAUGUAAGAAAAGGAAAUUAAAUUAAAUUAAGAAGAUAAUUUUUCUUAAUUACAAGCUAUCAAAUUGUUAGCUUAAUUAAUUAUGAAGAUUAAUAAGGCAUACUUUAUUUAAAAGAAAACUAUGAUAUACUAUAAAUAAAAGUGUAUAUGUCAUCAUGUAAAAUGAUAUUCUGAAGUUUGAAGAACACACAGACUAUUAAAUUAGUAUUAUAUUGUGAAGACAUGUAGAGAAUUUGGUUACAAAGUUUUGUAUUAGUCAUACAAAUUUUAAUUAAUAUAGGUCUAAUUCAAUCCUUAUUAUUAAUUAAGAUUUAAGUCAAUAAUCCAACAAAAAAGAUUACAUGAUAUUUUCUUUCUCUUGUUAAUUAAUAUUAUUCACACCUAAGCAAUAAUAACAUAUAUUCACAUUAUUUAUAUUUGAAAAAUAUUAAUUAAUUAUACCAAUUUAAAUCUUAUGUUAUAGAGUGAAUCAAUUUAACCUAUUUAAUUUCUAAUUGAAAGGUCUAAAUUGGAUUAAUAUUUUUAAAUUUCAGUGUUCAAAUCAAUAUUCUUACUAACUGUGAGGGGUAAAUAAAUAAUGUACUUAUUCAAAAUUAAGAGAUAUUUAAUUAUGUUCGUUUUACAAUUUAUCAAACGUUGAUCAGAACAAACUUCAUAUAUAAUCUAAAUUAGAGUGAUAUAUUUCAACCGACACGAAUCUCUCACCUAACUCCAAUAAUAAAAAAUAUAACUUGUGAAGUCAUUAAAUUACAUAAUUAAGAAAAACCAAUAGUUAAGAGGAGAAUAUUCAAGAAUCUAAAGACAACUAUACUAUACCAUAAGACUAAGCAAUUUUGGAAUCAUGUCUACAUCUUUUAUCUAACCAAAUAAAACAAACAAAUAAAGUAAAAGCCAUUGACAAACAAAAUUCCUCUAAUAAGCAAACUUUGGUUAUGAUUGAAAAUUAAACUAAGCCAAACUUUGCACCCUAAGUCAAAAAGGGACCCUCCUAAUUAUCUUAAUCACGACUAUUUAUUUACAUCAAUGAGUUUAAUUAUGAUUUAAUGUGUUUUUUAUUAAAAUUUUAUCUCAAUUAAUUUAAAAUUAUUUUUAAAUAUAGUAAAAUAAAUUAAAAUAUUUAUAAAAAUAUCAUAUUUGAUAGGACAUAAUAUAACUAUUUAUUAUUUCUAUUGUCGUAUAAAUUCAAAUGGAAAUAAACUAUGAUUUUAAUUAUUUUUUCCAUCAAUACCUGUUUUUUUUAAGAUGAACAAUAGAACAUUAAUCAUUUAAAUAAUUCUUAUGAAAGAUUAAAAUAUUGGUUUGAAAAAUAAGUCAAUAAUUAUUUUAGCAUUAUUCCCAAUAAGAAAUGCUAUUAAUCUAAUAACCAUUUGAAAUUCUAAGGUUGUGGUUGUGAAGUUUCCUUCUGUACUAAUAUAUAUGAAAUGAAUGCAUAUGUAUAUAUUUAACUUUUAUAUUUUGAAGGAAUCAUAGGUUAUAUGUAUAUAUUUAUAUUUGAAUAAACAUGUCAUUAAAAUACACAAAUUAACAUUUAGAGGUCCAAUUAUGAUUUAAUUUGAUCAUUCCUUUUGUAAUUUUUUAACUUAAUAGAAAAAUGGACAAAUGCCAAACUGAGUAUAUAGAUUACUAUUUAAGCACAUGGUCUCUUUAUUGUCUAUUUGUAUUUUGUCCAAUUAAUUGUUAGUUCUUACACAUCUCCUAGCAAUAAUUUUGAUGUCACAUAUAUCAUAUUAAAGUAUAUUAUAAUAAAGUGUAUCAAAUUAAAUUUAGUUUAUAGUUUUUUUUUUUCUUUGUUAUAGUUCAAAUUUGAUCCCUAUAAUUUUCAAAGUUUCAAUUUAGCCCUUGUUAAUGAUUGAAACUCUCUCCUUUACUUGAUGUCAUCUUCUAAUAUACAUAUAACCAACAUAUUAACAUAUCUUAGAUGUAUUUAAGAUGCAGUAAUGUCUUGUAAUAUAACAAUAGAGAUAAUUAGUAAAAUGCAACCCAACUGUGGUGAUGAAAAUGACCAUUAGAAAACCAGUACACUAAAUUGAAACUAUAACUAAAUUAAUUAGAUGUAUGGAGUGAUAAACAUUCAUAAUUUCAUACCUCCCCACAAUCAUAUCAAUGUAGUUAUUAUAACGUAUAUCAAAGUUGUUAAGUUCGUCGAAACUGCUACUCUCUUUAAUAGCAGCAGGUCAAGACUUCUUUCUGAUAUUUGAGAUUUUGAUCAUCACAACACAUUCUAUUAGAUUAUAUUUCUCUUUUUUGUCCACAAAAUUGUAAUUUAAUUGCUCACAUUUUGGAAUGUAAUGCACCAUAAACUGACGUCCUUUUCGUAUAGCUUAAAGAUCAUUCUCCACAUGUUAAUGUUGCUCUGUCAAAAUGAUAUUCAUCUCUUUGCUUUUCUUAUAUAUUGAACGAAAAUGGACAUUCAAACUCUCACGUUUUGGGCCGGGAUGUUAGGCCCCGGGCCGGUUUCGGGAGUUAUAAAUGGGCCGCCUUUAACUAGUUGGGCUUGGGCCGUAACAUGAAAAAGCAGUAUUGGGCAAAUCCUGUAAUUCAUACAGAAAGCAGGGGUGAAUUUGCAAACUUGGUCAAAAUUUAUUGAUAUCAAUAAUUAAUAUUUACAUAUCAUAGCUUAAAUGAUUUUACUUUAUGGCAUGUAAAGUCUAUCCACUACCAAAAAGAAAUUGCCUUUUUUAACUAUAUUUUCUAUUGUUCUUUAUGUUUAAAUUUUAUAUUUUACUUUUUUUGUCAACUUGAUCUUUUAAAAUAUUACAUUAUGUCAAAUGUAUUAGAAAUUUGUUGAUAAUUUAAAAACAAAUUGAAAGACCAAUGACCAAUUUUUAGGACACAAACAAACUAAAUAUAGUUAUUAAUAGCACCAAAUAAAGGUAUUGAGAUUUUAUGAUAUGAAGUUUAUUAAUAAAAAUUUACUCUCUAAUACAAUUUAUUUAUUUUGUGUCUAAUAGAUUCUAGAAAUUUAAAAAACACUCUCUUAAACUAAAAAUCAUAGCAAAACGAAAAAAGAAAUUGAGAAUAAUGUUUUUAUUUGUUGAGUUCUUUCAAAGAAAAGAAAAAAGAAAUUGAGAAUAAGAUUUAAUAUUUAGAAUAUUAUAAAAGUUGGGACAAAACGAAGACAAGAGUCAUUUAAAACAUACCAUAGUACUAUGCACUAAAAAAUGCUAAUUAUUAGUGACAAAGAAGACCUUUCACAUCUAUGCUUUCACUUUAUUGCUAAAGGGACCUUAUAAAAGCUUCUUUAAAAAAAAAUAUUAAAGGGUAUAUUUUUACAUUCGUACAACUUAUCCUUUGAAGAUAUAAUAAGACUAAAAAUAAUUUUAUUUAGUAGGUUAAAAUUUGUUAUCGAAAGUUUAAGAGUAUAGUUGUAACUUUUACUAUACUUUGAAAAUAGUUUUAAUUUUUGUAGUUAUUGAGUUUUUACAAUAUCAUUCAUGAUGUCAUAGCAAUAUUUAAAAUAUAGAAUUCAAAGUGUGACAUACUAUUUUUUAAAUUCUAACUUGCUAGUGAACUUAGAAUAGAACGGAUAAAACAAAUUAAUGUACUAAUGGUUAGUUUUCAAACGUGUUUGGUUUGGUCGGUAACGUGUAUGUUAGGAAGAUUUGAAACAUAUACUAUUUAGUAGAUACUAGUAUCACAUGUCAAUUGAGUUAUAAGCUGAAGGUAGAUACUAGGAUGUUAUUUUUUACCCUAAGAAAUUUAUUAUAUAGUUCAAAAGCAGGAUCAUAUUUUGACUGAGGAAUAAUUUUGGAGAUAAUGAAAAGCCCAAGAAGAAACCCCAUGUUGGUUGGUUUGAACUUUUGAUUGGUCUCUGUGUCUUUUCAAAACUGAGCACACUGCUCUGAGUCAUGGAGAGGUCCGGACAUUGGCGACCCACCAUGGAACCUCUCUCUGAAUCCCAAUGUGAACCUCUCUUUUAUCUUUCUCACCUUCUCCAUUUUCUUUCAAUUUUCUCCCUUUAAUAAUGGGGGUCGAAAGAGAUUGUGAAAAAAGGCACACAACCCCAAAACCCCUUGAAACCCCUCUUUUUGUUUGUCAAAAUUGUUUGCUUCUUCAAAUUGAAAUUCCAGUUUCUGGGUUCUGAAAUACACAAAAAGCAAAACCCAAGUUGAGAAGAAAAAGGUAGUAAUCAGUAUUCUCUUUUAGUAGUAGUACAGUAUGUGAAACCAAAAAAUGGGUCAGGAAAAAGAGCUAAGCUAAGAGACAUUGAAUUUGAAAUAUUUUGUCUUGCAGUGUGGAUUGCCAGCAUUUCUCUGUUUGGGUUUGCAGGCAAACCAAGCAAGGAACAGACCCCACAACCUCAGUUUUUCACACUCAACCAUGUGGUAAUGGUAAGAAAAAACAUAUAUUUACUAUCAAUUUUAGUUUCCUGAGUUUUUUUCUUUUCUUAUUUUUGUCAUUGUGCUGUCAAAGAAUUUGUUCUUGGAAAAUCAAUCUCGAGGUUUGAGUUUCUUUAUUAUCCAACGUGGAAGCUGAAUGAUAAUUACACUUGAUUUUAAUAAAUGUACUGUCUUUUCUGUGAAAAAUAUUUUUUCUCUUUAAACUUUCAAGAACCGUACACUCUUUGAAGCAUAUUUUGUCUAUUAAACUCUUCAUUAAGAAAGAACCUUCUCUUUCCGUUCUUACUUGAGUAAUUAUUAAAGCCCACUUUAUGAGAGAAAGAGGUCUUGGUUGGAACUUCUUGAACCUGAAACGUUAGUUGACCUUGACAGGACAGAAAUUGGAUUAGUACUUUCAGAGAGACAAUUGAGAUGGUUAGAAAUUAAACCCCUUUAAUGGUUUCACUUACCAAGCCUGCAGUGCAGAGAAAAAGGCAAAAGCCAGAAGCAUUCUCUCUAGUAACAGCUACAUGGAAGUGUUGCACCAACAUUGAGGUUGUAGGUCCACAUUAUUUCCUCUAGUUAUUUCUGGUCAUUAUCCAGAUCCCAUUAUCGCUACUUGGUCAGAGCUCUAAAGAAAAAUCAGAGAAAAGAUUUAGAAAAUGGAGGGAAAAGUUUGGGUUGUAUCACAUCAGAUCCAACGGCAGAGCUCUAGAUUUAAGAUAGAAUGGUAAUGGAAAAUGGAAUCCUGAUCCGAGAAAUGAAGGCUAUCUAUUUGCAUUGUUUCAUCAUUCUGGUGUUACUCAAUGAAUAACCAUAAUGGUCCGAAUACGAAUAUUAAGGAAGGUUAGUCUAAUAAUUGAAGAAAUGCAUACACCCAAAACUAGCUGAUGGGUGCUGUUUUCAUUGCGAGACAUUAAAUUUGUCAAAGAUAUCCCACAAGAUCUUCUCGUCAGUUUUGGUUUGCUUGCAUCAUCAUUUUCAGGCUCUUUUCUCUCGCCUUUCUCUGAGACUAUAUCUGUUCAAAAGUACACUGCUGAAACAGUAGUCUCUCUUUUUUCACAUUUGAUUGCCUUAAGUUCUUAGUUGUUUGAUUCUGAAGAGAAAGUGUGAUACUUUGUUACUGUAUUACUCUUGCUUCUCAUCACUUUGGCUUUCUUGUUCAGAAUAGCUUAAAAAGAAAGGGACUGUCUGAAAAAUGGUGCUGAGAAGACCUGGCAGGAACAGGAAUUUCAACAGAGAGAAUCCAGAUAUUUUGAUUAUGAUGAUUGCAGUGGAUCAGAUAAUAAGAGGUUGUGAGCAGGACAAAGGAGAUGGCACAGAGAGGAAGGGGAUGGGCCCUUUAAAGCCUGCAACAAAGAGUGAGUGGUUUCUGCAUCCCAAGAGCUAUGGUCUCUCCUCUUUCUUGCUCUCCACCCCCUGGUUUUCUCUUGUGCGGCUGAUACUUCCUUCUAUCUUUAUUUAGUGGGUCCAUUUCCUCCAUCUCCACCUUCAUGCAGAGUCCUCUUUUUUGCCUCUUCACUCUCUCUCUCUUCCUUUUAAUGGUUCUCUGAGAUGGGUGUCAUUCAUUUUCCAGAGCUGUACGUAUUUUAGCUUUAAAGUUUGAGAACAGAGAUUGAGAUUAUACAUCUCCCUGCCGUUCAAUCCUCCAAACUUAAGCUUCUCGGGGUUUGAGCGCUUGAAGCUAUUCCAUUCUCCUUUUUUCAUGCAAAAUUUUGUAUCACUUUUCUUUUACCAUCGGCUUUAUGUUGUUGUGAUUUGGCAGAAGCCGGAAAAGUGGGAAUACAGCACCAGUCAUUAUUACUUCUUUUCCCCUUGUUUUUUUCUAUAAAAGCAAAGCUUCUCUUCCACUUUAUCUGAACUUUCACAAUGGCACCCUUUUCUGGAGAAACAAAAGAAACCAAGUUCUUUGAAUCUUCUCCUUUUUCUUUUUUAAGUUGUCUUUGAUCACCUGUGAGUGAAGAACCAUAAAGCAGUGAACAUUAUAGCAAUUUUUUUUCGUUUUAUAACUUGCAGGUUUAAAGCUCUUCACUAAGCCAUCACAUCCAUUUAAUUUGCUUAGAAAUUCAGGACACGGUCAUUUUUUUUUCAGGGGAUUUGGUGUGGGGCUUUCGCUCUAAGUUUCUCAUCCUAUAUAGGAUGACAGAGAUUCAUCAAAUGGAAGGUUGGUUUCUUUGUCAUUUUAUGCUAAUGGCUCAAUGUUUAUGUUCUGGCUGGUGGUUUACAGAGUGAGUUUUGAUGUGGACCUUUAUUUCUUCUGUCUUGUAUGAUGUUAUGUUUGUUCCCUCCUUUGUAUCGUGUGUCAAAAUAAAUUGAACAUCUUCAACGAAUGGCUUGUCAAUAUUAAUUUUUUGCUGGUCCCUAAACGUAACAUGCUUUUCACUCUUGUGGCAAUAGGUUCUGGAUAUGUUACAACUACUAAUUUCCCUUUCCAACUCUGAAUAAUAAUAAUAUAGCAUAGCCUGUCUCUAGAGGAAUGUGAAUUUGGAUGUCUGGAUUGAGCUGCAAGUUCAUUUCUUUUUCCAUUCAACUGAGAAGUUCAUUUUUUGUUUGAUAAUGCUAUAUUGACUUAUAAAUGCUAUUGAAAUCGCAGCUAAAAAGUGAAUGUGGUUUGAAUCGAGUAUGUUAAUCUCAGCUGUUGCUUUGGAUAAAGAAUGGUAGUUUUCCGUCUAGACUGCGUAUGGGUGGGCGAAUGAUUUGAUGAAUGCUCUGGUGGAUAUGGUAAACCCAAAUUCUGUUGUUGUAUGUGAAAUUCUGCCUCUUGGCUUUUAGAACUCAGUUGAUACGUCCAAUUAAUGAACUAAGCAAUAUUACAGCUGGAUUUCCUAUCUUUUUAAGUCUGCGGGAGUCUGGAUGCUCUGCUCUUACUAGUGCUGAUAAUCAUAUAGUUGAACAAUUGACAUUUUGAGGUUUUCCAAUGUCUACUGCCCUGCAACGAAUCGAUAUGGGAGAUGCUUGUCUGGGUCCCUCUGGUAAUGCUGAGUUUCAAAAUCAAUUGGCAGUAGCCAUUCCUAUUUCUCUGUUUCAAUCUACCUCUCUUGCUCCAGUGAAUGAUAUUCGUGGAAAUACAAAAGAUUCAGCAUUUCCAGACCCACAGUUCCAGCAAUUAGAAACCUUUAGAACGUGCUUCUUACACAGUUACUCUAAUGCUUCAAAUUCUUCAUUUGCAAGUUCUCUGAUCUGUGAAGGUGAUGAGUCUCUAUGUAAUGCAAAUAAUAAGUGGGAAAGCGAUAGGUUUCAUUGUAUUCAGCAACUUUCUGGGGAGAAUCCGGAAACAUCUGAUUCCCAGACCGUCUUGUCCAUGGAACACCUGCACCAGAAUGGCUGGAUGUCAUCUAACACUAUGAACUCUAAGUUAUGGAAUGAGCUUUCUCUAAGCCUUGCUACAACCGAACCCGUCCUCAGUGGAGGAACUGAUUUCCUGGACCAGUAUUCUCAGUUGACUUUUUCUGGUGCUACUCAACCUUGCUUGAACAGCACAGAAUUAGCCUCGAACUUAAAUUCAGGCAGCUCUAGGGACCUCUCUCUAAGUUAUGGAUGUGGUAAUUCUGUUCGCCUUUCUCGAGCAAUAGCAGGAUCUAGAUAUCUUUCGGUCAUUCAAGAUGUACUUUCUCAAAUUGCAAGCUAUCCACUGGAAAACUCAGAUCAAGUUGAUCAUUCAACUACUGCAACUGGGUUUGUGCCGUUGUCAUCAUCAAGUUCCCUGGAUGAUGCAACGAUUGAAUAUGGUUCUGAUGUUACUGGUAGAUACAGUUCUCAAAUGGAGCCGGAAUGGCAAAAUCUAUCUGUUGAUGCCAAGAAGUCCCAUCUGUUGACUCUACUACAAUUGGUUGGUUAAUUUAAUAUAGCGUUUCUCUGAUUUUUAUCUUUUUACCCUUCUUAUACUGAAAAACUUGAUAGUGUUUCAGAUUGAUGAGAGGUACACUCAAUGCUUGGAUGAGAUUCAUACCGUUACUUCUGCGUUUCAUGCUGCUACUGAUUUGGACCCUCGCUUGCAUACUCGAUAUACACUCCAGACGAUCACUUCGGUGUAUAAAAACUUGAGGGAGAAGAUUACCAGUUGUAUUUUUGCUAUUGGGAAGCAUUCUAACGCAACGUGCACCAAGGAGAAGGAAAAAUUCUUUGAGGCAACAUUCUUACAGAAGCAGUGGGCUCUCCAGCAGUUGAAAAGGAAAGAUAAUCAAUUAUGGAGGCCACAGAGAGGCUUGCCUGAAAAAUCUGUCUCCGUUCUUAGGGCAUGGAUGUUUCAAAAUUUUCUCCAUCCGUAAGAUUUUGUGACAAAUCUGGUUUACUUUUUGAAGAUACGUAUAGUAAGUUGAAGGAAUGUUUGUUCUUUGGUGAUUUUUCAGGUACCCCAAGGACACAGAGAAGCAUUUACUUGCAGUAAAAAGUGGAUUAACUAGAAAUCAGGUUCUUGCUGCUUCAAGAUUUCCUUCAACUUUCAUGAGUUCUCCUCACUUUUACUGAGUUCUGCUAUUCUGGACUUUGGACAGGUGUCUAAUUGGUUCAUCAAUGCUCGUGUCCGAUUGUGGAAACCGAUGAUCGAGGAAAUGUAUGCUGAAAUGAGCAGAAGAAAAUCCAAUCAAAAUGAGGAGGGAAUCGAAAGAAUUCAUUGUCCCAGAUAAGCAUUAGCAGUGAGAAGAUGUGGCUCGAACUGUGAAAAUGAUAGACAGUAUUGAGCACUGUAUGGAACUUGAAUUGAUUAGAAAAGUGUACUAGACUGAAUUAAAUUCAACUAUAUAUUCUUUUUGACAAUUUAACCUGAGAAAUUUCUUUAGCUUCGCAUUCCUGGCUACAUCAUAAUAGACAAUAAAAUGCAAUUAGUCAGCAGAGAAACAUCACCACAAACUUCAUUCUGAAAAGAAGGAAAAAGAAAACACGAUCAAUAAGCGAAGUUCAAUCUAAAAACAUUAUUUAUUAAUUGAAAAUAAAUAAUUCUGAGAUUUACAGAGAAUGGUGCCCUCCUCCUCAACUAACUCUUUUGAUUACAAAUGAAAGAAUGACAAUUUCUGAUUUCUGCCUAGAAGUUUUCACUAUCAAAUAUUCUGUUUCCUUCUUUAUCUACACCCCACACCCACACCUCUCAUUCACGAACUGAUGGAUUGCCAAAGAAAAAACAAAAAAAACUGUCCCAACUCCUCACAGUACAUAUAAAUACAAAAAGUGAUUAAUAUUUUUUGUUGCGCCUCCUUUCAUCGUCUUGUUGUUCUAGACUUGCAAGGAGAUUCUUGUUUUUAUCGGUUUCAACUUCAAUCCCAUACUUUCUGGUGACAGAAGCUCGGGAGCUAUGCAAGAAGGGCUCAAGGGGCUUCUUGGGCUGACGCUAAAAUGAGAUGGCCUAUACAUGCCAUAUCCCAUGAGAAAAUACUCCAUAGGUAUCAACAUUGCAUCAGGCUGCUCCUCUGUCACCAUUGACCCACAUGACUGAACCUAAGAUGUGAGAAUAGCCCCUUUUAAUUCAUAGUAGUAUAAAGCUCGGUUUAUGAUUUUCAUGUAUAUUUAAUCUCCAAAAAGGAAAAAAGAAAGUUCAACAUACUUCCACUAGGGCACUGUAUCUUCUGUCUAGUUUGACAGUCAUGUGGUGAGCCUCUGAAUGGAACGGGGACCUGUCCCCAACAAAUAUCAAUGAACGGCACUUUAGUUUCCGUAACCCUUCUGAAAUGUCGGGUCUCCUGCAUGAAAGAAAAAAAAAGUUUAGGAGGGCCUUCGACCCCAUAUGUGUAUCAUCUAACUAAUGUAAUUUCACAUCAGAGGUAUAGAGGAAAAGGACCCCAACAAUUGUCAAGCACAAAUUCAAAGAUUGGAGUUAGAUGCUUACCCAUUCAUUGCUUCAAGAAACCUCCAGACGUUUGAACUUUGCCUCUCGUCAAGUGACUGUAGAAAGAACAUGAUCAUAAUGUUUGAUCAAACAAAUGCUCAACUCUUAAAAUCUGUCAAGUUUUCCAACUCUGGAAUAACUGACAGUUUAAAGUUGCUAAAAGAAAACGAUGAAAAUGCUGCAGUACUCACUCUUCUGCAUGCUUGAACUAAAUCUGACUCUGGUACUUGAGAACAACCACGAGCAUCCUACAACCAGCACAGUACAAAUGUCUAAUCAAACUCAGUUGGGAUGAAUAACUCUAGUAAGAGAGUUUGAGUUUGUGCAAGUAAACCUGCAGUUGGUCUGUGUUUAAGUUGAGAAGAAAAAAGAGUUUAAAAGUUCACACGUUCAAGUGCAAUUUUCAUAUCAUCAAAUUGGUUUUGAAGGAAUAAAAACCGAUUUCAUGGUGAUUUUGAAAACAAAGCAAUUUUCAUUUUUAGACCUACCUUACUGAAAUACCGCUUCAGCAACAACUCCUUCACUACCCCACACAUGCCAUAGAAAUAAAGCAAAUUUGACAUCACCUGCAUAUGGAAAAUCUGUUAAUAAGAUGAUUCCAAUAAACCAGAAGACGAUCAUAAUAGUUCUUUCGUUCAGAAAGACGACCUUAUUAUACAACCAUUCUGUCCAACAGGGCGCUGUGCAUAUGGGAGAAAUCAAUAUCAAACCAUGAACACGAUGUCUGUGCUUCAUCUGCAACCAACAAGUGCAAUCAAUAUAUGACAAAAGUUUACAAGAGGAACUGAAAGAAAAAACCAUGGGGGGGAAGGAUAAAGUAAUCAAGUGGAUGGUGAACAAAGAGAAAAAUUACAGCAAAGAGAGUGAGGAUGUAUGCUCCAGCAGUAACACCCAUACACAUCACAGCACUAAGUCUGGGAGAAAGAUAAAGAAGAAGAGUAAGUCAUCAGAUCCGUGCAUAUUCAUUUCGGAUAGAGCUCAAGUGUAAAACAAAUAAAACAGCAAAGCAUCAGACCAGUGGAAUUCAAAACUUUAAACAAGUCGAAGUUAUUAAAAAAAAAUUGAAGAUAGCCAAAAGGAAUAUCGAAUUACCCAAAAUAGUUAAGAACUUCAGCAAUUUGAUCUGCUAAGUCAUCUGCAGAAAGUACAGGAUCAUCAGGGCAAAUUGCAGCAGCUCCUAACUGCAACUCUUGAACAAGGUCCCAUUAUGAGAAGAAUUCAUGUGGAAGUAAAAAAGACAACGUACUUGUUGGAAAGUUCAGUUUCAUUGAAGCAACACCAAAAAAAAAUUACACAGUAGAUUAUUUUGUACAUAGCAUAGAUUAAAAGAAAUUCACUCGUACAAAGUAAUUUAUUUUAUGUAUGUGUGUGGAAAAAAAAAUAAUGACAUCAGUAGAGAUAUUAGAACAUCCCAAUUAUACAAACCUCGUGUCCGGGAGGGCUGAUAUGAUAUAUGCAAAAGUUGUGAAGCAAUAACGAACAAGCUUCUGGACAAAACAUUAAUCCUUGGAAGCAGAACAUAUCUGAUAAAUAAUAAAACAUAGCACGUUUAAACAUUGGUAACAGGAAAAAUUAAAGAAAGAUUCUAAAAAUCAAAGUCACAAGUCAUAGAAUCAUUUCAUUUUAACCCCAUAUCACAAUUUAUUAACCUUACUAUCCUCUUUAAAUAACUUAUUUUUGUCUAUUUUCAAAGAAUAAGCUUGUCUAAUAAAAAUAAUGGAUUUCAAAAGCUACUAUUAAAAGAUUUAACAAUUAUGUGGGUGAAAACAAACCAAAAAGGCAGAUGUUCCAGCAAAAGGACUGUAGAUAAUAGAGGUAAGAAUAACCAAUAUUCUGGAUUCCAAAAAAUUCAACACGUUAAAUUUAAAACAAAAACUCCAUCUAAUCAACCUUAAACUCCAAAGUGUGUCUAAUUUAUUCAAAGACUCCACUUCUACACUCAAAAUCAUGUUUUGAAUAACAAUUUACAUGACACAUUCUACAUACUCACGAUUUAGAGCUAAAUCGGGAUAAGUGAUUAAAGCUGGCUUGUCCAGGUCUCCAACCACGGUGACAGAAACAACACCAUAACAGGUUUUCACAAGAUACUCCUGCCAAAAAAAAAUCGAUUGAAGAAAUAUUAGUUUUCAAACGUAGUCAUCUGAACUAGAGAAUGGACGCACCAAAAAAAGGCGGCAAGUAAUACAGAACCAUAAAAUGAACUACUAUAAAAAGGGAAUUGCAAAAGCUUAAAUAUAAGGAAAUUCGCAGUUGAAGACGCAAACAAUAAAACAGAUUAAAGAAAGUUAGUCUACUAAAAUUCAAAAUGUAUUUCUAAACUAGUAAAAAUCCCAACAUCCAUCCACUUUUGGUAGACCGUUGAAUUCCGAACGAAAAUCAACACCAAUUACCCUUAGAAAAUCUAACUAAAAUCAACAAUGCACAUCCAAAAACCUUAAUUACCUCCGUGUAAAACGAUCACUAAUUACACGAAUUCAUCCAAUAAAAAACAUAACGAACCCCAUGUUUCAAUUCAAUCCAAACUUCCCAGCAUGUUCUCAAAAAGCAAACAAAGCACAGUGUUCAAACACAUGAAACCAGACGGAUUUACACAAGCAACAGGAAAUGCAGGUACCUUUCCUCCACAAGAGAUCGACUCCAUAUCCACCGAAACCGAGUCGCUCGAAUCCCCCAUUUCCUUCUUCCCUUAUUCUCUCACCUUUCUCUCUUCCCCUAAAUCCUCCUUCCCUUAUUCGCUACUCAAUACACAGAAUGCUCCUUCUUCCUUUUAUAUACCACCAAAUCUCUUCAACAAUUCCACCACUACAUUAUUUGGGGGAAAAAUUUCAACUCGUCCCUUCGAAUCGUCCGAGUCAAUACGAGUCACCGACGCCGCGUUCCCCUUCCAUCGCACAUUGACAGAAACCUCACGAGCGCCCUGUAACGAACAAACUAUAACCCGAUACCCUGGUUGGUUUAACCAUGGUUAGGAAGCCGACAGUUUAUUUGAAAUUACUUAAAUACCCACAAUUUCCCUUGACAGCGACCUCCUCUCUUACCACAUGAAAAAGGGCGAUUUUCGUCUAUUCACGUUGAUUUUUUAAUUAGUAAUAAAGAGGGAAAUAGUAAGUAGUUAAGCUUUGACUAAGGAAGAGAUAAAAUGAAAAUAAAAUUAAUAUAAGGGAAGUGUUAUUUUUAUUUGUGGGACCUGCGUUUAUUUAAAGUAACGUAAUCAUUUAUAUUAUAAAGUAUAUAAUCUGUCACAAAUUUUGGGGAGAGGUUUUUCCUUAUUUUUCUUUUUUCAAUUAUUCCAUUUAUAAUAUGGUAUUGUAUUUUUGUUAUUUAUUGCAUUGCCUAAAAGUGGGGAGUGGAUUUAAUGAAAAUAAUUUUAGAGGAUCUACUUGUUUUUAAAUUAGUUUCUGUUUUUGUUAAUUUUGUUUAAUUACUUUUUUUUGUGCAUAAAUACAGUUGAGUUUUUAAUAGUAUUGUUGCACCAUUAAAGUUAAAACCUUUUCUUCUUCUUUUUCUUUUUAAUAAGGUUAGUUGUCAUAUACCAUAUUUUCUUGCCCUAAUAGAUUUCAUCCGUUUAUUGAAUAAUAAAUUAUUGCCUUUUUAAUUAAACUUUCUAUAAUACUCUAAAAAAAUAUCAUUUCGGGAUGAUUUUGUUUGGUAUAGGUGUGAAAAUGAUAGAUUGAAUCUCCAACUUAGUGAAGUAUAUGUGAAACAAAGUUCAACUGACAUUAGAUGUGUAUUGUCACAUUCUAUGUUAAAGGAUACCGAAUUCAUGAAUCUUCAAAACAAAAAACAUUAAACAAUAACAUGCAUCCAAACUAUUGUAAUAUUUUCGUGUGAAUGGUGUUGCUUGAGCGAACAUUUUUUAUAAAUAACAAUGAUGAAAUGUUACAAUUCUAAAAAAAAAUAACUAAAUUUUUUUUCAAUUUUUAUUACCCUUUAUUUUAUUAAAGAAAUACCAUUGAAACCCUUCUUAGAGAUUUUACUUACAGUGUCAAUUAUUUACGUAUAUACUUAUAGAACAAAAUCAUUAAAAUAUAUAAUUUGUUAGGUGUAAAUACAUCCUUAAAUGUUAUAUUUUUUUACGAAUUUUUCCUUAAAUUUGUAUAGAUUUAAAAAUAUUUGAUGUUAUAAGUUAAUAAAAGAAAAUGGUUGAAAAAUGGAAGAAUGUCCACGUGUAAAACAUAAGUAAAGAUCUCGACCGUGUAAUGUUUUAAGGAAUGCAAUCGAAAUAUUUUAUCUUUCAAAUAAAAUAAUACAAAAAGUAAAAAAGAUAUAUAUAUAAUAUAUAUAUAUAUAUAUAUAUUAAUAAUAACAUUAACAUAAUAUGUUUAAGAGAAGUGGAAGCAUAUAAUAUGUUAUCAUUCUUAUCCUCUUUUCUCUUUAUGCUUUACUCUGUUUUGGAAUUUUGGUCCACUAAAGAUAAGUGAAUGCUUCUUUCUUUCUUUUUCUUUUGAAAUAUUGAGAGAAAGAAAUGGUUGAUCAAAAUAUUAUAAUAAAUAAGUAAAAUACAACAUUUUGUUUUAUAUAUGCACGUUAUAUAUUUCACUAGGUUUGGAAAAUGAUGCGAUAUAUGUAACUCUAGAAUAUCAAACGUGGAGGAAUUUUAUUUGCUUAUUUGAUAAAGUUCUUUUAAGUUGAAAAGUUCACGUUAGUUUGUAAUUAAAACUUAAAACAUCGUAGUAAAGAUGAGAAUUAUCUUAACACAUGCAAUGUAGUGCAUCGUUUCUCAUCCAAACUUCAUUGUAUUGUUUGUUCUUCGUACUUCAUAUUGCAAGUGUAUUUUUAAGGUUUUUUUUUUCGUAAAUUGAUAAUACAAUUGCAUCAUACAAUUAAGCUAAGUUUGUUUGUUCUUUUAAGCAAAUUAAAAAUUAACAUGGUGUGUCUCGUACUGUUUUAAUUUUAGUUAUACUUGUUAAUUGAACAUUAUUAGACAAUUUAAUUCAAUAGUUGAUUUGUUAUAGGAUACCUUAUUUAAAUUAUAUAUUUAUUAUUUUGUUGAACGAUGAAUCGAAGACUAAUAUAAUACAUAUGUGAUUAUGUAUUUUUUUUCAAAAUGUGAAUAUAUUGCUAUAUUUAUUUGUUAUAAUAAAUCUAUUUACAUUCGAAUAAAAAUAACUAGUGAAUUUUGUAUCUUUUCAUUUAAUUUGUCUUCUAUAUCUCACAACAAUUGUCAUGCAUGGCAUGAGUUGGUCCCACGAAAUUAAAACAGUGAAUUGAUUGAGCAAAAUAACUAAGUUGGAUUUUGAUGGUUAUUAAGCAACGAUAAAUCACACAAUAAAUUAGAUAUUCGACGUGCUCUUAAGAGCAAUAUAGAAAGUAGAUAGUUAUUACAAGAAUAAACGAUGAAAUCACGUCAACAAAGUAAAAAGAAAAAGAAAAAACAACACAAUAAUGUUGAAAUUUUUGUUUAAUCAUAUUUUAUACUUUAUCAUGUCAAAAAUUAAUUAUGUACUCUCCAUCAACAAUCUUAAAACAAAGUCUUUAGUUUUGUAUAAAAAAAAAUUGAUUAAUAAAAACAAUUAAAUAUGGUAUAAAGUAAUUUAUAUAAUAAACCUUUACACAAUUUAAAAUUAAUAAUAAUGCAGUAAAUCGUGAUGUUAUUAGUAAAGGAAUGGACAAAAAAUCGCACGCAUGUGUCACGUGAUUAAUUAUUAAAUAGUAAAAUUAAACAUACCAAAUCACAUAAUGAUUUUAAGGUUGGAAAAUGAAUAUAUUUAACCAUAAAGUGUAGUUAGGUGAUGUUAUUAUUUUGGAAUUUAAAUGGGACAUGUAGUGCCUUUCCUUAAACUAGAAACCAUGACCAAAAAAAUUACUGAGGACGCAAAAAACUAUGCUAUAAAAUAAAAAGCAACGUCUGAAUUGAAGUUCUAAUGUCCUUCCCCCAUCAACAACAACCAUUAAUAGCUCCACCCCAACUCAACACCAAAAUCCUUUUCCAAGUUUAAUCCUUAGAUCUACUCAUCCAUUCUUUGUUAUACUAAACCUUUUUCACUGUUACAUCAAUUUUUUCAAAAGGUUCUAGAGUCAUCAUAUGACGUUGAAUUUUAUUUUUUUUCCGCUAUCUUCUUUAUCAAGUUUGAAAGGUGGUUCGAUUUUUCAUUUGGUUUAUAUAUCUAGAUAUCAAAUUGAACCAAGGAGAUUUGUUGUAUAUAAAAGAAACCACGUCGAUGUACAUAACAAAAUAAAAAAUCAACUUUUAUUCGAUUCAAUCGACUUUUUUCUUUUGAAAAAUUAAAAAAAUAGCAAAUUUUACAAAAUAUUUACAACUUAUAGUAAAUUUUGUAAAUUCUAGUGAUAGUCACCAACCAAUAGAAUCCAAAUUUUUGUUAUAACUUAUAAAAUAUUUUAGUUUAUUUUGUUAUUUUUAAAAAUUGUAUUCUUUUUAUUUAUCAAAAAGGAAAUAUAUGACUUUUUAGACUAUAUAUAUAAUAAUAACAAAAAAAGAGGGAGAAAUAAGAGAAAUAUGUAAUAAACUAUUUUUGUCUUCUUCCCAUUUAGCUUGCUAGUGCAUGUAACCUAUAUUCUAAGAAAUAAAGGGAAAAUAAUUAUAUUGGGGACUUUUGAAUGGAGAUAGCUAUCUGUUUACAUUAAUUUCAACAUUUACAAGUAAAGCCAUAAACAAUUAAUAUUGAUGAAUUUAUAUGUGAAAAAGCUACCAUAUAUAUUAAAUAUAUAGUUUAAAUUAUGCUAUAUAUUUAUGUUUCUUGAAAUGGAAAACAUGUUAGGAUGGUUACGUUAUUCAUUUUUAACUUUCCUCCUUGAUUUAUGGUUGCAAAAUUCAUAAUAUAACUUUUAAUAAGUUGACUAUAAAAAUCAUUAGAUGUUAUUCGAAUAAUAUCGGUUAAAUUAGAAUAAUAUAACACAUUAAAAAUAUUUGGACACACCAUAAGAUGCCCAAAUUAAAUGUUUAACUAAUACAAAUUAUCUUUUUAUUGUUUGACAACUUAAUUUAAUUUAAAGAGGAAAUUUCUAAUAUAAUAGUUUCAAAAUUGUUGACCACCUAGGCCGCUACUAAGAAUCGUGUGGAAUCUAUAAUUUAUUAAUUAUAAUAAUUAAUGGAAAUGGUAGGUAAUAUAAACUUCUACUAGUAUCUCUUAAAGUUUAAAUUUACUAUAAAGAAAAUUAGAAUUUGAGUGGAAAUUAAAUGGUCUUGAAUUUGGAAAGGUAAUUAAUUCACCUAAAUGGAUAAACAUCUAUAAUUUUUCUUUUUCUUUUCCUUCCAACUCGUAGGCACCUUACUAUGAUGCUAUAUCGAAACUAUACUAAAAUUAGAUGUACUUAUAAAUAUUUUCUAAUAUGCUCUCACUGAUUCCAUGUGAACCCCAAAAGGAAAAAAAAACGUUAAACUUAACCAAAAAAUCAAAAGUAAUUAAGUAAAAUCUCAUCGUCAAUUAAUUUCAAGUUUGGUAUCAUGGUCGAUAUCAGACCAUGUUGAAAAUUUCACACAUUGAACAAACUAAGAAAACUCACACUAAUACACAAUAUAAACCUUGAAUGAAACAAUAAGUAGAUAAAUAUCUCGUUACUCGAACAAAUCAUAAAUAGAAGAUGUGAAAGGGAAUUGAAUGGGAGGGAGGGAGUGAGUGAGAGAUGUUUUUAAAAAGGAAGAAAUAUUUUUGGGAAAAUGAGAGAGGGGGAGAAAGCAAUUAAAAGCAUGGGGGGGACAAUUAAUGACAUUAAUUGAGAGUAGAGGCAUAAAGGUAUAGAAGGAAAGGGGGAUUGGAAAGAAGAAGAAGAAGAAAUGCAAUAAUAGCCAAUGGCAAGCAUGUGAGUGUCCUUAACAAAAGCAUUGAAAAUUGAUUGCCCAAAUGAAAUAGUUUUACUUCUGAUUUGGCGCUCUUUUUGCUGCGGCUAUCGCGUUCACAUGUGCUUCUUCCCCCCUCCCCUCGCCCCCAUAUGUUGCUUACCACUGCCCUAACUUCAAUCCUCCACCGACACAUUUCAAGCCCUUUUUCUUUCCUCUUUUCAAAUAUCAUCCCUACCUCAUCUUUCUUUAUUAUAACAAAUUAUUCUAAACUCUAAUUCAAUAUUUAUAAAAUGUAAUAAAAUUUUAGAUUUUGUAGUGAUAAACGUUUAUGAAAGACUGUUACCGGCUUGAUGAUUUUUGUUAUAUUUGAAAAUACUCAACUUAAUAUCGCUUUUCUUUUAAUAUUUGAGGUUGAAUGUAUGUUAAUUAAUUCGUUUUUCGUUAAUUCUUAGACACUAACGUUAAACAACAAUUAGAGCUAGUAUAUAUUUAGUACCAACUACAAUUGAAAAAAAGUAUAAUAUAUUGAAAUUUUUUAUAAUAAUAAUAAUAAUUUAUAAUUUGUUUUCAAAUCCGAAUAAUUAAUAGACUAAAGUGACCAUUAAUUAUCAAAUAUUGGUUUGGGAAUCAAAACAGAGAGACGUAGAUUAGAUCACAAGUGUGGAUAGUGGAUAAAUAAAUUAGAAGGAUAGAAUAUUCAAUUCAUUCAAACCAGAAACAUUUGAAUAUGGUUCAUUAAUUACUCAUUAUAUUUUAUCUUCGUGAAAUUUAAAUUAACUAGUAUUUAACCAUUUUUCAGUAAAGAUUUGAUCGAAUCUUGAAUAUUUUGGUUCUCAACACAUACAAGUACCAAUUGAAUUUAAUUUUUAUGAAUGAUUCACCAAUAUUACGUUGAAAAAAGCGUUUAAAUUUGUUUCUUUUAAAUAUUGCAAAAAUAAAUUCAAACCAUAUACACUCCCUGUCCUCAAGUAUUUUUUAUAAACCAUAUUAUAUAUAUUAUUAUGUAUUUGUGUAAUGUGUCGAAUAAAUAGUUGGAUGAAUUUUUGCUAUAUUUAUAAUAUAUGGUUUGAAUGUUUGAUAUUAAUGGGUAUUUGAUGCAUAACCAAUCAUUAAAUAAGAAAGAAGAAAAAGGGAAAAAAAGGGGUUCUGCCCAUAAUAAAAUACGUGCCGACAAUUCAAUUCACACUCACCUCUCUAAGCUUCAGAAUAAUUAUUAAAUGGUGGGCUAAUGAUAAAUAGAAAAUAGUAAAACUAUCAAAUUUUUUUUUUUAAUUUCUAUCUCAUGCAUUAAACUAUGUAACAUUAUUAGUCCUAUAGUAACACCUCAACCAAAGCUUAUGAUAUUUAUUUUGACAUUACAUUGAUAUAUUUGAUAAGGUCUCUUAAUCAAGGAUUCUUGAAUGUUAGCUUUUAAUAUGUAUUUGCUUGCAGUGGAUUUUUUAAAUACUUUGUUGUUGUUGUUUUUUUUUUAUAUAAUUAAUAUUUGACUAAAUUGAAAAAGAACACUCAAGUAUUAGUAUAAGUUGAACAAAUUCCUAUUUGUUUUGAUUUAUUAGAAAAAACUAUGGGCCUGGCUGUAGCUCAAUCGUACUUAGAUUACGGGCCGUUCUAUAAGGCACGGUUGGCAGAGCGUAGGCCCAAUACUUGGUGCUUAUUGCUCUGCCUCUGCUUUGCGAAUUGUUUUUGUGAUCCAAAAUACAUCUUAAUUUCUAAACUUGAGGUGCCGAUAGAUAAGUAAUAUGUGACUACUGAUAUUCGACGUAGAGAAAAGUAGUUAUUGACUUACGAAUAAACGUUAGGAAAACAAAGAGUAAAAUCAAAACAAACAUUAUCAAGAAAUGAAAAGAAAAAGUUUGUAUCAAGUGUGUAUCGUGAGUCACUUUUGUAAUGUAAGUUGGCAACAUAGAUUAACAUUAACAUAGAUGAUUCGUACUAAAUUUUGUAGUACUCGAUAGUCAAACUACAAAAUCUAAAAGUGUUUUUUCUUUGAUUAAAUUUUCUAGAUGAUUGGAAGUAAGUUUUAUUCAAACGAGGCAAGAGCAAUAAUAUUACGAAACAUCGAUUUAGUGUUUGUCAAGUCAGUUUUGCAAAGUUUAUCACUACAAAUUGAGUAAAUAUAAUAGAGUCACGUUUUGAAGGCCAUAUGUUAUAUGAGUUAUUUCAAUUGAAUAUACGAAACAACCAAACUCGUAAAAUUGUAAUUUAUUUACACUUUGUAACGUGGAGGAAAGAAAACCUGGAAAAAAGAAUCUAAUGCCAAGUCAACGAUGAGAUGAAAAAUAAGUCAUAAGUUGUUAGAUACAUCAGGUAAAAGUAUCAUAAUAACUUUACUAUUUUCUCAUGGAGGAAGGAUAAGAUAAAUUCUUCCUAUUUCUAAUAAGUUAGGGUAAGAUUUUAUUUUAUAUUUUAUUGACUCGUGACUUAUUCGAUAACGUUAAAUUUUAUCUCGAACGCAUGCAAAAGUUAUAUAUGGUAUGGGAAUAUUAUUUUUAAAAAAAUGUAUAAAUUAGAACCGUAAAAUUGUAUACAUAAAUAUGAAAAGGGAAAAUAAAUGAUUAAAGAAAUAAGUGAAGUAAAUAUUUGAAGCUAAAAAAAUAUUAAGAUUAAGUUAGAAGGAAAAAAUAUCGGAAGAGGAGAGAGACAUAGAGGGCGCCAGCGGGAUGAUGCUAUAAAUAUAAAUUCCCUACGCCAAAGGCGUGGUCAUUUAUUGAAAGGAAACCCAUCCUCUUUCUUGCCGUCCUCCGCUUUUCUCUUCUUUUAGGGUUUCUCUCUCAAACUCUUAACAAUGGCUGACGAAGCUCAGUAUUCAUCUGCUACUGAUACUCCUUCCAACAAGCGCAAGUACGAUGACCAACCUCCACCCCGCCGUCCAACUGGCUUUUCCGGUCCCAUCACUUCCCCUUCAUCCGAUUCCGCUCCCUCCUACAACAACGUCCCUCCCCCUAUGGAUGAGAUCCAGCUCGCUAAGCAGCGUGCUCAGGAGAUUGCCUCUCGCUUGAUUAUCUCCAGCGGUGGCGUUGGGGCUGGUGCUGGACCUGGCGUUGGAGCAGAUGUCAAACGUCCGAGGGUUGAAAACGGCGGCGGGUAUGACUCCUACGACAAGGGUUUUAGUUCUGGUCCAGGUGAUUAUUGUUUUGAUUUUUUUUAUCUUUGUUUGAAUAUUUCAUGGUCUUGCGUGUUUGUCGAAGGUGUAUUGAUUUUCUCACGACUCAGUGAGCUUAAAGUGAGUCAGGUCUUGUAUAUGGGAAGAAAAUAAGUGGGAACACUCGGAGAAAAUCUUGUGGAGUGCUAGUUAUAUAUUUCUUGUUCACAGGGAGUGGGUUGUGUACAAAAAGGUCCAGUGUUCGUGAUUUUCUAGAAGUGGCGUGCACUUUCUUUUAUUGCAUUUGGAGUAGAGCAUACGUAGGGGGAUGAAAUGAAGGUUUCUGGAUUUCAGUUUAGUGGUUUAGAUAGAGCUCUCUCAGUUAUCAGAAUGCCUAUGUUCCAUGUUCUUUUACCCUCGUUUCCUGUAAUAAUAACUUUAAAAUGUGCUGGUGAUGUAUUACGGUUUAAAAGCAAGAAUUGUGUACAUGUUUGGAUGCUCAUUGGUGAUCUUGAUUUGUGUGGAUGCAGACCUGAAGCCUCACAUGUCAAAUUCAGCCCCUUCAGCGAUACCUAUUUCCUAUGGUUUCCAAGGGUCAAGCAAGAAAAUUGAAAUUCCAAAUGGGAGAGUAGGCGUAAUUAUUGGUAAAGGUGGUGAGACGAUCAAGUACCUUCAGCUCCAGUCUGGGGCAAAAAUACAAGUUACUCGUGACAUGGACGCAGAUCCCAACUCUACUACUCGGAUGGUUGAGCUAAUGGGCACCCCUGAUCAAAUUGCCAAGGCUGAGCAGCUGAUAAAUGAUGUUCUUUCUGAGGUUGGUCUUUUCUUAAUUUUGGAAUUUCAUGGUGUGCCUUUGGGAGCGGCAUCAAUAUAAGUUUGUGGUUUCCUGUUAUAACGUUGACAUGCCAUGUAGCAAUACAUUGGUUUGGAUGGAUAAUGGAUUGACUACAGCCUUACCAAGUUUACAACUUUGAACUUUAUUUAUGGGCAAUAUGUUAUUCAUACGUCCGAUGCAAAAUAUGAUUGUAGUUGAAGAUAAGACUUUUUACUUGGCUUGAAAAUGUGUUUGUCUCAUAAAAUUUAUCAUUUGAAACAGGCUGAAUCUGGCGGUUCUGGCAUAGUAUCACGAAGACUAACAGGCCCUUCAGGAUCUGAGCAGUUUGUUAUGAAAAUUCCUAAUAAUAAGGUUCUCAGAAACAUUUGUUUUGGAAUUACCAAGUAUUGCUUGUCUAUCUUGGGAAUGUAAUUCUGUUCACUUUUUGUACUUCUGAUCGUGAAAAUAUUAAUUUUUCUAGGUUGGCUUGGUUAUUGGUAAAGGUGGUGAAACAAUCAAAAGUAUGCAAGCUAGGACUGGAGCACGUAUCCAGGUCUGUUCUAUCUUUAUGUGUAUAUAUGUAUAUAUUACAUACGUCUUUUAGAAGGCUUCCCAAAGCUAACUUCCGUUCCUUUUUAUUUCAAUAGUGCAACUAAUUUUCACUUUCUUUGGUCAUGUAACAUAGAACAUUGUUUUGAAUUUUGAUUGUAUGGCAAUAUCUACUCUUCUUUUCUGUAGGUGAUACCAUUGCACUUACCCCCUGGGGACACAUCUACAGAAAGAACCUUACAGAUUGAUGGUUCAAGUGAACAGAUUGAGUCAGCAAAACAGUUGGUUAAUGAAGUUAUCAGCGAGGUGCGUUUGCAGAUCUGGGUUACAUAUUUAUUUUGCCUUGUUGUAGUUGGAAUUAAUACCUGGUUAACACCUACUUCCAUUUAUUUUUGUGUUUAUAAUGAUUUUUCCUGCUUGUCUUUGGUUAUUUUUUAUACAACUGUUGAUGCAACUGUUCCAUCUUAUUCUGAAACUCCUUUAGUUCUAUUCUCACAAAAAAAAACUCCAGUUUUAUUAAUUUUAGGGUUCUACCUCAACGCCAAGGUCAGCAUUAAACCAGUGGUGUUGAUUGGACGUUGGCAUAUUUGCUUUCCUUACCUUGUAGUUUACAUUAUGCUGUGAUAUGGGAGGCAUCUGGUAUUCAUUGGCUUAAAUUAUACCUCCAGUUUUAUUUAGAAAAUGAUAUCUGCUUCUUGUUCUUGUUCUUUUUUUUUUUUGGUAUUAUGUUUCUCUUUCAAAUUAUGUUUUCUUACACAGGCUUGUUACCUUGUUUUAUUUGUUAUAAUUUUGUAAAAUCAUUCUACAACAUUAUGCUGCUUUUUAUUUCUGGGAGGAAAUAGUUGAGAAAAAAUUCCCGUUUUUAUGUGGUUCUGUCGGACAACUGACUCAACAAGAAAUUGAUUUAUUUUUUUCCUUCACUAAUGGUACUUCUUGGCUCUUCUUAAUUUUACUCUACUAGUGUAAUGGAUCUUCUACAAUUUCUGGCUUAAACACUAUACAAUAUGCUCAGCAUAUGGUGUUCUUGUUCCUUUAACGAACUAUUAAUCUGCUGCUGUGUCUGCAAAUCUGCAAAAUCAUUUAUUGCUAAUGCUAAUGCACUCAUGCUCUGCUAAUAUGCAUUAGCAUUUUGACUACAGUAGGAAGGCUUGUUCUCUCACUGUGCUCAUACUUUCGUCUUUGAGGGGGGCUCCCUUCGUAGGUCUAUGGAAUCAAAUGCUGCUUUGUGGUUUCACUCAAGGAAUUAGAAACAUUGGAAUAUUUCAGCCUGUUAUACUUUUAGAUCUCUUAUAGAUUGAGACAGCUUUUAGGUCUUUUACCCCUAAUCGAUCUGGAUUUGUUAUUAUAUCUGCAAUUGUUUAUUCUAUAUAUCCACUAAUGCAGAGAUGGAGGACAUAAGGUUCUGGGAUUGGAAAGAGGUGAAAUUAUUUUACAGAUUACUGCUUGGUAAUUUUUUGAAGAGUGAUUAUUGUAUCAGAAAGGUUCCCAUUGGUGAUUUGCUGGCUCCUUUGGAUAUUUCAGUUUAUCAGUCAAAUAUUACUCUUAUUAGGUUGUUUAGGUUAUAUGAUAUCUCUCCUAUUUAAGAUGUUAUCAGCCCAUUUGGUAUUAUUCUUGGUUUUAUAUCUAAGUGUUAUAUUAUUGGGAUUAUGGCCUGUUCAACCGUCACAUGUGCUUAUUAAUUAUGUAUCCUGCAACUGAUAUUGUUAUUGGGAACUAUUGUAGGGUUAGGGUUAUUGGACCAUUAGUGACACCAACAUGGAAUCCUUUAUGUUGGUGUUCUCUCAACGUUGCUCUGGUAUGGUUCUGAAUCCCAUAUUAUAAUGAUAUAAAGUGAUGAUGUGGAGAGAAGUUGCAGGUUUAUCUGUUGGAUAUUCAAGGUCUUUAGUAAAAUUUGAAAAGUCACCUUACCAUUCUAUCAUUCUUUUUCUGGUGGUUUACUUUGAUUUGGGAGAGUUUCAUCUUUUAGUCUAUAAAUUAUUCAUUUCUUAAUUGUCUAUUUACUGUGCGUACCAUUUGUGAAAUUAUUUUAGUUUAAUAUAGGCAUGCGGGUUAAUUUGUUGGAUAACUGUACUAUGAUGUAUUUUUGGUACUAUCAUAUUUUAGUGGCAACAUCACCUGAUCGUUCAGUGAGUCCGCCUUUGAUGGAUAUUCCAGAAAGUCCUUUAGACUCCUGUUUUGGUUUAAUUAGUUAUUAUUAUAUGUUUUCCACCAAAAAGAUGAAUUCUCUAAUUAUUAAUUUUUUUACUUAAAUUGACCUUAACAUUGUUCUUGUAAUUGAAGAAUAUUUUCUUGUUUCAAUCUUUAUGGGCUAUCUUUAGUUACUUUGGAGAUUAUGGAUCGUUUCUUACAAAGGUCUGUAUAUGUCAGUGUCUUCUUUUUCAUCGUCCAAAUUGCUUUUCAGCUUUUUUGGAAGUAUUUUUCUUUACAAUAAUUUGCAAUCAAAAUUCUUUUGACUAUAAAAUAUUUUUCACUUCAUAUUCUAUUGGUGUCUGAAGAUAGUGUAUGGGGUUGUUUAGUUUUAGCUUGAUAUCCAACUAAUUGAUUAUUCUAUAGAAGAUUUAAUAAUUGGGGAAGACAUUGCUUUUGUUGUGCUUUGCUAUGAACUUCUUUGCCUUUUGGGGCAAUUAAGUUCAUAUAUUCUGUUCUGUAAAAGCUUUUGUAGUCGUCUGGUUCUCUUUGCACCCAUUCACUUCGAAUAGGGAGAGGUUGAGCUUCUGCUGGAGUAACUCAAUAACUCAUCAUCCAGUACGGUAUGUUGGUGUUUUAUACUCUUCCUAAUGCAGUAUAAGCUCCUUUAAUCCCUCUACAAAACAUACUGACUAUGGUUUUCUUUUUGCAUAUCCUUGAUUUCAGAUUUGGCAUUUUCUUUCCAUUUCGCAUAAUGCAUAUGAAUGUUGUGCUUUCCUCUUCUUACCAUCCCCUACGUUGGUUUCUUACGUUAAUUGAGAAGGAUUCACCUUUGUUUUCAUUUUUAUGUUUAAUCUCUCAGAAUCGCGCGAGAAAUUCAGGUAUGUCAGGCGGGUAUAAUCAGCAAGGUUAUCAAGCUCGACCCCCUUCAAGUUGGGGUCCUCCUGGGGCUCCACCAAUGCAGCAGCCUAAUUAUGGCUAUGGACAACAAGGCGGAUAUUCUGCUCCUUCGUCUCAGUAUAACAUAUCACAACCUCCUUAUCAGGGUUAUUCCCAACCAGCAUCUGGUGGAUAUGCUUCCAAUUGGGACCAGUCUACUGUUCCGCCAAAUCAACCUGCUACUCAAGGAAGUGGUUAUGAUUACUACGGUCAACAGGCUCCACAGCAACAACAGACAGCUGGAGGCCCUGGUGCUACCGGAGACAACAGUGGUUAUAGUUAUGGUCAACCACCAGCCACUACUUAUAAUCAACAGGGUUAUUCUCAAGAUGGCUAUGGUGGUAAUUACCAUGCACCUCAGUCUGGUUAUGGCCAACCGCCAACAUAUGAUCAACAGGGUUAUAGUUCUACCACAAACUAUGGUAAUGUGGCUAACGCCACUCAAGAUGGGCUCAAUUCGUAUGGCUCUCAAGGGGACUCAUCACAGACGGUCCCUCCUGCUGCACCACAGCCCUCUUCAGUGAGUCAGCAAGGUUAUAGUGCAAAUCAACAGCCUAGCCCUAACCCAGGGAGUUACCCUCCACCAAGUCAGUCGGGGUAUGGAAUGACUGCACCUUCCCAAACUGGCUAUGGAAAUCAACCUGCUGCUCAGGCUGCUUAUGGGGCUGCUUAUGGAGCUCCUCAGACUCAGAAACAACCUCCUACUAAUCCUCCAGCCUAUGGUCAAAGCACUCAGUCACCAAGCACCGCUAGUGGCUAUGGGCAACCUGCUGGAUUGCCAUCUGGAUACUCAAGUACGCAGCCACCCGCAUCCGGGUACACUCAACCAGAUUCUGCUUCUCAACGUGCUCCACCAUCCAGUUACGGCACUGCUGCAGCUCAGCCAGGGUUUGCGCCACCUCCAUAUGGUGGUGCUCCUCCAACAAAUCAGUCAGCUUACGGGCAAGCUCCACCACCUUAUGGUGGCUCUUAUGGUGCUGGUUACCCUCAGCCCCAUUAUUCAUCUGAAGGUAAUGCAGGUGGUGCUACUCGUGGGGGCUAUGAUUCUGCAUCAGCUGCUCAGGCAGCGACCCAAAGUGGGGUUGCAAAAGCAUCACCAAAAAGUUGAUAAUAUUGUAUGUGUUUGCUUAGGUGUGUAUGUUGCGGAGAACGUAGCUUUGUUUUUGUGGUUUUUAUUAGACAGGUAGUUUUAUGAGACCUCAUUAAUGCCCGAAUUCUUUACUGUACUUUGUUUUGCUAUGGUUAAAAACGGUUCUGGAGUUUUGUCUCUCUUGAACAAAACACUCUUUCUCUACAGGCGGUGGCGUCUCCUUGAUGAUUUUGAUUUUUGAUUGUGGCGUUGGGGAUUAAGACUGUUUAGGAUUAUUGUAACUUUAAGCUACGGAAAUGGUAAAAUAGCAUUUAUUAAAUAAAAUGUUAGAUAUGAAAAAUUCUUAUUUCAAAUGUUUAUAUGAACUUAUAGCAAAAUAAUACAAAUACAUCUUUUAACAGAUCUACUUAUUCAAAAAAUUAUUAUAAUACUUUUUUCUAUUAAAAUUUAUGCGUUGUAAAAUAUUGAUGUGUGAUAUAUUGUUAUAGUAAAGCUGAAUCCUUUACUUCCAUGUGUGAUACAUUGUUAUAGUGAAUAUAAAUACAGAAGUACACUUGGAAAAACGGAAAAAUGUGUAUGGCAGGUGAACUUCUAUUUCUUUUCUCAGGUAAAUAUAAGUCUAACCCAAAAAAAUUCGGAUCUCUCCCCGCUGUAUCCUAGAUUCUUGUAUAGUUUAAAAGAAAUUAUUCCUAAAAGCCAUGAAUGCUUUGGGUGAAAGUAACAAGAUGAACGCAAGGACCGAACCAAAUAACAAUUUGAUAGCAUAUAGGAAGGGAUCGUGGUCAUCUGCAUCUGUUGAACUUGUGUGGGGUGCCAAUGCCGUUGCGGAUGGAAGGGCUUCAAUUACUGCAUCAGCCAAAUCUGAAAUGAAUGAAGAAUUGCAAUUGAGGGCAGGCACACGGCCCCAGUUUUGGAUUCCAGAUUCAAGUGCCAAGUGCUUAUACUCCAUAUCUAUCUCCUCGAGAGUCUCAAUGUGCUCACUCACAAAGCUGGGAAGAGACAAGUAAAACUAUUAUAAACAAAACGCCACCAGUGCAUAAGAAUAUCCAACUUCACUUAACACGCUUCACCUUCUCCAAGUCUUUCAAAACAAGUAAAACAAAUUGUAAACACGAUCAAACAGCAUACUGCUUAUAACCAGUUGAUUGUUUUAAAGCAAAAAACAGUUGCCUUUUUUAAUUUUGAAGAAAAACCACGUAAACAGCCAAUCUUUUGUGAUGAAGUUCAAAGUUGAGGAACGACCAAGAAAGCCCAAAAUUAUUCAAAGCACUUUGGGCCUAAGGUUCUCCAUCAUUAACACUAGCACAAGGAGUUCGAAAUAUAUAAUUGUCACGUGAAUUAACUUCAUUAAUAUUCACUCUAAGAUCAUAUGAGAACCAAGAUGAGAAGGAUCCCCUGGAAUUAUGAAGCUACAAGGAACCAAAAACCAAACAAUCAAAUUAACAGUUCGUCCUUUUAUGGUUUAUGAACAAGCCAUACCUCACGGGAACGGCUAGGAGACUCUUAAUACCCUUCUGGCCAAGCUCAACAAGAACUUCAUCUGUGUAUGGCUUAAGCCAUUGUACAGGUCCAACACGGCUCUGAAAAAUGUAAUACAUAACAAGAAUAAAAAACCACACGGAUGUAGUUAGGAAAACAAUGAAAUAAAAUGAUAGAAAAUCUGAAUAGUUGUUGGGGCUCAAAAUGUUAAAGAAAAAGAUAGGAAACCAUGCCAAGCUUCAAAUUUAUUACUAACCUGGUAUGCAAGAGUAUGCUCAUUCCCAAUUCCUCUGGCUUUCAGCUCUUGCAUGAUUAGGCAGAUGCACUCUUCCAUUUGAUCUUUGUAUGGAUCUCCAGCAUUCUCAACAUAACUGACGGGAACCCCAUGUGCACUAAAGAAAAUCAUGACCUAAGGUGCAAAUAAGUGAUGCUAUAUUAAGAACUAAUUGACUUGGACAUCCAUUGCUGCAUAAAAAUAAAGCAUCUCUCUAAAAUAAGUUUCAGCAAAAAUUAAGUACCUCUUGAGGAUUGGCAAAAUUCUUCAGCUCUGCCUGCAUCAAGUCAGCCAUUGACUUAAUAUACCCUUCCCGCUGGUACCAGGACUUUAUAAUUGAAACAGGCAACGAUGAGAGAUAUGCAUCUUCCCUGAUAGACAACUCAUAGUCAAUAAGUUAAGUUGGUAGCAGUAAUUUUUUUAAUAAUAACAAUAAAAUCAAAAUAUUAUAAUACUAGACACGAUCAUCACCUGAACAUCUUCUGGAGAACACGAAUACUAGACCCAGUUGUAGAAAUAGAGUACUGUGGAUACAAUGGCAGCACCACAAGUCUUGUUAUCCCAUCCCUCUUAAUCUGCCACACACAGCAAAAGGAACUACCAAUUUUAAACUUCAUUUCAAACAAUGCUUCAAACAAAAACGUGAGGUUACAGGCAUAUUAGGAAAUCCCGUGGUUGGUAGUAAUAUAAAAUUCUUCCCUCCAUUCGAAUUACAAGGCAAGGGGAAUAGAUAAAACAUAGAGCGUACUUGCUGAAUUGCUUCCUCUGUGAAAGGGUACCAAUAGCGCAUUCCCACAUAGACAUUAGUAGACAUGUUUUUCUCCUCCAAAGCCAUUUUAAGCGCUUGUGCCUGCAACAAGUAUUCACAAAUUAUCAAUAUUGAACAUUUGUUUUAUACCCAACUGGGAUAUGCCAUGAUGAACAAUUUGAAGGAAAUAAGAGAGGUCAAUCAACCUGUUCAUCUGUGAUUUUACGCAAAGGUGAGCCACCUCCUAUUGAAGCAUACCCUUCUUUGCUUUUGGGAGCACGGUAUGUAGAUAUUAAUUUUGCCAAUGGCUCUUGGAGGAAACGGAACAACCUUGGGAGUCGGAUAAUAUCCUAUGCAUCAUGAAAAGAAGUAAGAAAAAAGAGCUAUUGGCAUGUUAAUUUGUUGUUAAGACUAGUUGCAUUAAUUAACUAAGAUACCGGAUCUGCAAAUAGAUUGUACAGAAAUGGUUGGACAUCAUCAAGCGUUUCCGGCCCUCCAAGAUUCAAGAGCAGAACUCCCACCUUGUCAUCCACUGCCUGAGAUUGAGAUUCUAAAGCAAAUUCACCAACGGUGAAAGUUCCUACUGAGCAACAUGCUUGCCCCAGACGGCUUUUCUUCUCAAUGGGGCCAGAAAGAUGUAACCCCUGAAUUACAUCUCUGUCACCAUUGGAGCUAGAACAAGAAACCACUAAUCCUGUAGACCUAUCACGAACUUGCAGAUUUCCAGACGUUUUGCAAGAGAAAGUCACGCGAGAUUUCGGCAAAGAGCAUAACCUGAAAACAGGAAAAUAUACAUUGAAUUCCUAACUUCGACAAUAUAACACCUAAACCCCCCCUUAAAAUAUCAGUCACUGCCAUGACAUCCUCCAUACAAUAAAAUAACUAAGAAACUUCCUUCACAUCAACUCCAGCUACUAGAAUCCACGAUCACAUAACUUCACAUUGAUCGAACUAAAAGGACUGAUUCCAAGUAUACGACACGGGGUAACUUCAUCCAAUAAUCAACAUAGAGUUCAAAUGGGGGCGAAAUUUUAAAAGGGUACAAACGAUAUAAACCAAAAUCCAGAUUCCAAAGCAAGAAGAAAAGGUCGGUUAAGAAUUAACCGAUAAGGAACAUGAAGAAGAAGUGAUAUAAAAGAGAACUUACGAUGAAAUUCUUUGAUCCGAAUUGAGGGUAUUGGUGGAACCGUGAAGCUUGAUAUUGGAGAGGGCGAGAGAGGAAGAGGCGGCGUCCAUGGAGUCGAAAAUUGGAAGAACAACGAUCUAAAUCCAAAACCCGAGAAGAAAUUGAGUACAGAUAUGAGUGAGGAAGAAUGGGAUUGGUCGAUUAUAAAAAUUGGAGAAAUGGGAAACGUGGAAUCGGAAGGAGGAAGAACGGUAGAGAAGUCAAAGUUGGGGGAGGGAAGGAUCCGGGAAAUGGAAGCGCCAACCACUCUCCCAAGUCUCACCAUUAUAUAUUCAAAGUUUGUUUCGUGUUGAAGACUCAACGCAUCUACGUGUGGGCCGUACUCCUAACUUUCUUUAAUUUCUAAUUUUCAUCCAUAUAAUUAUAUAUAAAAAAAGUUAAAAUUUAAUUUCCAUAUUUAAAAGUUAGGAUUAAAAUAGAACAUAUUUAGUCAAAUUAAUAACUCGAGUUCCUCUUAAAUAUGUUCUUCGAUAUUUUUACAAAUCUCAUCUAAGUUCGAUGGUACUUAACUUAUUAAGUAGGAGUAAAAAUUGCUUAUUAAUGCUACAUAUCGCUACUAAAAAUUUAUCGAUAUCUAAAGUAACUAAUAAUUUUUGUUGAUUUGCAAUUUUUAAAAAUAUUGCUCAGCCCUACUUACCUAAAUUUUAAUUUUCUAAAAAAGAAUUAUUCGAUUUUUUUGGUAUUUACACGUGUAUUAUGUAGGUAGUGCAAAAACUUCAACAAAAUUGGUCUAAAUUUGUAUCAAAGAAAUUUAGGCAUUUUUGGUACUCACUACAUAAUACAUUUGUUCUGAGUGGUUGUUUGAUCCUUAUCUAAAUUACGAAAAAAAUAAAAAGAAUAAAUUGAAAUAAUAAAUAAGUUUCCUAAAAUUAACUAAAUUCCUUCUUUUCACCUUUGUAAAAGGUCAAACGUGGAAUGAAAUAUUAUUCAUUAUGAUCCAAAGAAAGAAGUAAAGGUGUCUAGUGAUAUCUUAUAACAUAGAUCACCAUUGAUAGCAAUUGUUUAUAAGAAGAGUCCAACAUCAUUCUUUCCAAAGAAAAUUCUCAUCCUAUGUUGAAAAUAGAUUAUCGUUCUAGAUAUGAAAAAUGAUCUGUCAACAAAGGUAAUCCAUAUUCUAUAUGAAAUUUUAUUUUGUCUUUUACCAGAUGGGUUAAAAGAUUUUUUUUUCUUCAAUAAAUACACAAGCAACCAUUAGAAUUCACAUCAUUUUACCAAGUUGAUUAAAUCUACACUUCAAUCCUUCUAAAUUUUCAUGGGAUGGAAAUUAAACGAGGGGCGGAGGCGAGGGAAUCAUCCCAUCUUGGUCAAAUUCCAAAUAUACCAAACCUAAAAAUGACCAAACUUCAACUUCAUUUGGGAAAAAAGGGGGAAAACAUAUUAUUUCCAAAUAUAGAGAAAACAAAAAUGGCUGAUGAUACUAGAAAUCAUUGAUUAUAGUGUAAAUUUGAUUGGUUGGAGCAUUAAGCAGAUGUGAAACUUGUCUCAACAGUCCGAACACUACUUGGUCAAAUUCCAAAUUUCCAAUCAACAUCAAAGUCCCAUUCUUUCCAAGAAACUAAUGAGAUUCUCCACUUACUAGACAAAAAGAAGGGUAGGAAGGAAAUGCAUGUAAAUGUAACUCAAAAUAGUUAAAAGUGUUAGGAUCCAGUAGAGAUUAUACAGACGAAAUAUUUUAGAGAAAGAAGGAUACUGAGUAUAUCUUCAUUCGACAUUUGAAAAUCCGGCACCACCUUCCGCUCGAGUCCUGUCCAUGGGCACAAGCUUAGUCAUUUAGGGGACUGAUAGGGUACAAAAGAAAGAUGAGAACAAAGAUAAUAAAGAGCAAGAAAGUCAAAGUGAGCUAGCUCGAUGGUAAGUGAAGUGUGCUAGCUCGAUAGUAAUUGAAAUAUACUCAUUUCUCUUUAGGUUAGAGGUUCGAAUUUUCACAACCCCAUAUUUUAUACUAAUGAGCAUACGGAACUUUCAUCGACUUUUUGAAAAAGAUAAACACCGGAACAAGCAAUGGAUAAGAAACUGUUAAUAGCUCAAUCAAGGGGCAUCCUCAAAUAAGUUGAGUAGACGGAUGUGAUCAAAACACAAGGACAAUAAUUUGAAAGAAAAUAAUUAUAAACAAAAAAGAUGGAUAAGGAGAAUGUAUAGCUAUAACGUAUGCAGUGUCUUCUACCGUGGAGAUUGAACUGAGUGAAAGACACUUCAGAUUAAUGCCUUCUUGGAGCCAAAGAACAAGUAAAAUAUUAUCAAUACCAUCCAUCAAUGGAAAUAGCACUUACUUGUGGUCAGAAGGAUUUGGUGUGAUUUCGUAGACAAUUGUUGCAACAACAUCUCUCUUUAGCUGUUGAUUAAAAUGAAGAUAUUUAGUUAUUUAAAUCAACAAAAUCAUCAACUGAUUCUUGCCCACAACUUUACCUGCGUGGCUUCACCUUUCAACCCAAUGUAGUGUAUCUGAGUCGUGUCACCACCAUAAUUAUCAGGAAAAUGCAAAGUGAUGUUUCCCACACCUUGAAAUUUGGAAUAUCUGAUUAUGUAUAUAAAUUAGCUGUCAAAAAAUAGUUGUAAUCUAACAUUGAAAGAAUUCACAGGCUCGAUAAUUAUAAGGGGAAAGAAAAUGCUCAAUUUUUUUGCUAUCAAUUCAAACAUUUUCAGAUGAUCUGAAAGAUAUGUUCCUCUAUAAAACAUCCUUACCUUGUUUGGUACUCUAAUACUCCUUGCAAAUUCUCAGCCAAAUCCCACUCCUAGAAUAAUAAAAAAUGCGUUACAGUUACAACAUAUGGUUAGGCGUCAAAAUUUCUCCAUGAAUCUCCGCCAGACAUGCUAACAGGUAGUACCUGAACAGCUUGCAUACUUUGAGCAUCUGAGAAGUCAAUACCUUCUCGAUUGAUAAACCUGAUUAUGAAGGAUAACUUGCGUAUAAGAACUAACGCAGGGAGAGAACUAGAAGGGAUAAAACUUAAUAUUCACAUAGAAAACCAAGUGUGUGAAAGUUCCAGAACAUCGAACUUACACCCUCAUCUUUGAAGGACUAGUACCAUCUGGACCACCAAUGAUAGAUAUGCUUUUGAUCUUAACAUCUGAUGUAAAUCUAAUCAUAAAAAAAGUGGUAAUGAAUUUUUAAGAAACAGGGAGAGUGCCAGAACACAAAAAGCGCACACCACAUAUAAGCAAUGUAGCCAUCGCUGCAAAACAAAGAUACAGGCACAGAAAUCUUCAUGACAUAAUAUAAAUUUUAUUAUCAGAUAACUAAAAUUGUUCUUGUGAUAUCUGCUUUCGAAGUUUCAGACCAGCCGACAAACACAUAGAUUCUUAGACAAACAGUUUUCUCUUGGUAGGAACACGAAAUUGCGUUUAGGAAGGGUAUGAAUUUACUAGGUGAAAUGGCUGAGCACCUAUGGGAAUUAUUUAGGAAGGCUAGAAGAAUAAAAAAAAAGGGGGGAAGUCGUGAUAAUUUAUGUCUUCACAAAAUUAUUUAUUUCCAUAUUCGCCCUGAGAUAUAUAAAAGGGAUGGUUGAGAAACUAUAAAUUUUAUUACAUUAAAAUGUAAAUUACGAAUAACCAUUACAAUAACUGUACUUAUUAACGAGUACAUAUCAAUGUUAUUAAGGUAUCAGGUAUAGUUAGAAUCCAAAAGUACAGGAACACCUACGGGAUGAAAACUAGCAGUUCAGGAUCACCCUCGUUGCUUUCCAAGUGAUCCUGUUGUAUAAAAACGAAAUAUAUGAGGCUACUUUAUCCUAGCAAUCGGGUACAUGGCACUGAUACACGCAGAUAUAAAGGUAAGGUACCCCAGAUGAGUUUAACCGAUGCUCCCAAGCUUUAAAUACUGACUUCACACUUCCUGGAGUUGCCUCAUUCAAAGCUGAAACCUAAAAAAAUAGCAGAACCUGUGAUCAUAAAUAAAAUUUCCACCAGUUCCUUUGAGGGAAAAAAAAUUAUAAUACGUGUGGGUUCGACAUGCAAUCUACAAUAAGAGUUCAAGGCUCUUCCAUAAAAGUUACUCAUAAGAUUCAAUUGAUUCCGUCCACAAUUAUCAACUUGCAUGAAACAUGCUAUUGACGGAAGGGGCAAUUGUCAUCCUUGUGUGAUUUUAAGAGUAAUGCAUUCAAAGAAUUUCUCCAAUCUUAAAGAUGAAAAAACUCAACAUCAUUAAUACUUCCACAUAUUCACUCAUAAUCUAACCUCUCCGAUUUCUUCUAGCCUUAAAAUAAACAGGAAGAUUUAUCAGUUUCAUCAAUACUUCGCCCACAGUAUUCAUUCCAACGUCAGCAGACAAUUACUUGUGCCUUAAAAGUUAUGGGGAAAAAUCCGUCAGCAUUGCUAACAUCUACUCAUAAUUGUUCCAGUUAUUGAACAACUCCAAUAAGCUUGCAAGACAAGAUGGCAAUGGAAAAUAAUAUAUUUCUAACAAAGUUAUCAAAUCCCCUUAAUAGUAACCAUUGAUGUUCUUGCUAUGCGUGCUAUGUUUAUCUCUCGUAUAACUCAAAUAUGAAUAAAAUAGUGGAAAUAUUAGCACAAUCCUCUUCCAAUUUCUUCCCAAAUGGCUAGGCUGUAAACCCAACUUGGAAAAAGGUAAUGUAAUUAAGAUGUAACAAAAAACAACAAAAGAAGAGAACCAGAGAUGGAAACAAGAGAACAAUAUUGCACGGACGAUCAGCUACAGUUGAGUUUUGUGUUCAUUUGAAGUGAAAACUAAAAAAAUUAACCACUAAUGCACUAGCUUCUAUCACUAACCAUGAAAUUCUCCAACAUCAUUCCCACUAAGCCAUUAGGCCAGUUCCCUCCAAUUUAGGAGGCACUACCUAAAUUAAACCCAUCAACAUAAAUUAAAACUAAUUACAAAUUAAGUUGCACUAAUUCUUAACCUAAGAAAAACCCAAUUUGCAUGUGAGGAACCAUAACCAACGGCAGGAACAAAGAUUCAGCUCAUUCAUGAGAUCAUGGGCAAUUGCAAUUCACAUAAUAUUUUCCAAGCAGUGUAAUUGGGAAGGAAACUAAAAAAUUAUCAUUCAGCUAAUGGGUAUGGAGAUAAUUAAAAUCCAAAGCCUGGACAAUCAAAUUUCAUAUUGAACGAUGGAAAAUGAUUAUACGAAUAUGUUUGAAGUGAUACGAAGUCGUAAAACGGAUUGUCAAAGAAGAAAAUUCGUGUGCUAGAGGUAGAUACAGAUAUGCACUAACUCUGGGGAGGUCUAUGUGCUUGUAAAGAGACCAAUCAGAAGAACAAUCGUGAUCUUCGCAGCUGUGAUCGUGUAAGCAAGCCAUCUUUGAGGUUCCAGAACAAUAGGCAGAACGAAGAGAGAUUUCAGAGGUAAAAGAGAAAGUGCGAGAUGCUCAAAACGGCGCCGCUUCUGUACGUGAAGGAUUGUUUUCGCUUUGAUAUAAAGCCAUUACAAGAAAACAUCAAUUACAUUUUGUUUGUUUUUUAAUAGCCGUGACUAAAAUAAAUCAAGAGAUUAUAAUAAAUGAAAUUAUCAAGAUCAAGAUGAUAUUUUCUAAUGGAACAAAAAAAGAAAGAAAAAACGAAAAGUUGUAUCCUUAAUUAUACUAAAAAGGAAUAAUAAUAAUCCAUCAACACGUUAUUUGGUAGCCUUCAACAUAAUUAGUGUUUGCAUUCAAAAUGUGGAAUAGAAAUAGGAUCAUGAAACGUCGAAACAAUGAAAAAUUAGAGUUGAGGAUCAUGAAACGUCGAAACGAUGAAAAAUUAGAGUUGAGUUGAGAACCGUGGAAAUGAAAUCAGUUUUAGUAUUACAAAUUCAAUCCAAAACCAAAACAUCCAAUCCAAACUCAUUCCACGACGAGUCUCCAAACCACUGUAAUCGUAUAGGAUGUGUGUUAAAGGAACAAAUUUAGGGUUACUUUGUUUAUAUAUUUUUUUGAAAAAAAAUACUAUUUACAAAUAGAUUAUUACAAAGAUCAACUUGGAUGAGCACCUUCAAUGAACAACUUUGAGAAUUAUUUUAGUAACCAACUUCAAAAAACGACAUACGAUGCCGAAUUUUGACAAUGACCUUUUAUGAUAAUCAAUUUUGAUGGUUACUUCAUGCCACUAACCCUAGUGAAAAGUAUUUUUAUACUCUCCAAUACAAACAAUUACAAUUCAUACUAUUUUAAUUAAUCUACACUCUAAAUAUACAUUUCAUAACAUAGAUUCUAUUUCACAUAUUACAAUAACCAACUCGAAGUCACAAAGAAUCUCGUCUACAAAUCAAUCUCGAGUAGAUAUGAUUUUCCUUUUCUUCUCCGUCGUGUGAACACUAUGUGCCCCAAACAACCCUACUAUGUUGGAUUUCUUAAUUAACAAGGGAACUCAUUUUUGUCCCAUGUGUUCAAUGACGGACGUUAAAUGUACUUUUCAUUUAAACUAAGCAAAGGGAGAGAGAGGAAAAAAAGUUAAGGCUUCACCAAAAAAAUUUAAUUAUUGUUUAGAUGAUUUGAUCAUCAACUUAAUUGACUAAUAAUUUGUAACAAAUAUAUUGCUUAUUUAAAGCUUGAUUUCAAAAUUACUCAAUAAACAAACAGUACAAUCAAUCACAAAAAUUCAACCCUAAAAUGCAUCAAUCGUACAAAGUUUAGUAAUAAACAUUAAUUGAUAGAAAGUAUUCUAUUAUGAUAGUUUUGAGGCACAUAUUUUAGGUUGGAAGAAGCACAAUUCAUAGAUAUAUAAUAACUUUAAAUUGGUCCAUACAAUAUUUUAAUUAAGUGAUAUUGUUUUAGUUAAAUUAAAUUUCAAUCCGUGUAUGAAUUUACUUGAUCUCGAACUUAAAAAAUCUUUUUUGAAAUGUUUACUUGACAUUUCAAUUUGUAUUCAACAAUCUUUAGUUAAUUUAAUUGAUGUUUUUAAACGUUAGAGACUUAUAAUACACAAUAUUAAAAAUUUAUUAGACACAAGUUUUAAUUUUAUAUCUUAAUUGUUCAAUUAACGGUUAAAAGUUACUAUAUGUUAUAAAUUAAUGAACCUAUUAAACACAAAUUUUAAAAUCUUUAUAAAACGGAAUCUCUAUUUCUAAUACAAAAAUAGUUAUGGAUCAUGACAAUAUGUUUGCUACUAAGUAUGCUUAAAAAAUAAUAAGAACAUAUUAACUAACUAGUUAAAAACCAACACUAUUUUUAUAAGUUGUAGGUUGAAAAUUUAAUUCCUACCUUUACUAAAAAAAAUUAGAGUAUUGUUGAGAUGAAAAAAAAAAAAAAAAACCAUAUGCAUAUGGUAAAUUAAAAAGAUAUUUAUUGAUUGAAUUAUGGUAUAUAUCUGAUCUUAUAAGUAAAGUAUAUGAGAAUGGACAUAUUAUAUCAUAAUUUAUCCGUUCUAACUAGAAGACAAUUCAAGUACUUUGGUCAAAGACUCAAAGGUUAAUUAUGAAUGGAUUAUUUAUUAUAUAACUUAUCAUCCACAAAUUAUUUCACUUUUAAUGCAAUAUCCCUUUCUAUGAUAUUUUCUAAAGAAAAAAAGCAAUCACAUUCUCUGCCCUCUUUUAUCUUCUCUUUCUUUCUAAUAAUUAUCUGAUUCGUAUAACUAAAAGUUUAUUUUUCAUUCUAUUUAUAAGUUUUGCGAGUGCACGUUUGAGUUAAUAAAUUAAUCUUGAAAAGCAAUUGACAUGUACGAUUUAGUAUCGACGUCGAACUAAAUUUUACUUUCAAAACAGUGGUUCGAAACGAUACAACAUGAUCAACAAUUAUUUUGUCUACUACUACUAUAUUGUUUCAUUUUACUAGAAUUAUAAAAUAUAGCUAAAGUUAACAUUUAUUAAUUAGUUCUUAAUUUAAAUUUAUUUAUACUUUAUUAUUUAAAUAUACUUGCGUAAGAUUAUAUACCGUCACUGUAGGCAACGUAAUGAAAAACAUUUUGGUUAAUAUUUGAAUAUAGAUCUAUUCAAGAGCUUUCUCUUAAUGUAAGUGAUGAAUUUCUCUUGUUUAACCACGAACAUGAUUUUAACUAUUUUUUUUAAAAGGUCGGUCUUCCGUCUUUAAAUAAAACCAAUUUAAAAAUCACCUCCAUUCUUUAUUUGGAGAGUUUAUGAUUGAUCUCUUCCCAAACCACUGAUUAGGGUAAAUUUUAGAAAUAUAUUUUAAUAUCAUAACAAAUAUUAAUUAAGCCAAUAAUAAAGAUUUGAUUGAUAACAGUUUUACUAAAGUUGAAGAAACUAAAAAAGAAUGAAAAUGAUAUUUUAGUAUUAAAAAGGAUUGAAGAAAAAAGAUGAGAAAUGGACGGAUAAUAAGAUUCCACACCCAACCGCGAAGGAAUCUCGCCUAAUAUUGAUAUUUGCUAUUUAGUGGGUCAUAGCUUUCCCUAUCAACUUCAACUUGCAAUGUAUUAAAGUUGAAAAAAUGACCGCAACUAUUAUCAUUACACGUGUAAGGUCAGGAUUCAUCACCAGGGGCAACUAAGUCUUUUACAAAAACCCGCAAGAAAAUUUCCAAUUUUCUUUUUUAUAUAUAUUAAGUGAAUUUGUAAUCAUCGUUCUAUACCCACCGUGUAGCCCAAGUUUCCCGGCAACUUCAUGGCUCGAAUCCCCACCGGAGUUUUACUCUCUCUUCUAUUCCUUGCCGUAAUCGGUCUACCUGCCGGAGCCCGGGACCUUCCCGGUGAUUUUCUCCGGUUGCCGUCCGAGGCACUGAAAUUUUUUCGCGGAGGAGCUUCCGACGCUAGCGACGAAGACUCCGUGGGGACGAGAUGGGCUGUUUUGAUCGCUGGUUCUAAUGGAUACUGGAAUUACAGGCAUCAGGUUUUUUUUUCUACGAUUGAUAAGUUGCACUGACUUUAAUUCAUUUGAUAAGUUUGUGUUGUGUUAUGAUGUUGACCUUUGUGAUUGAUUGGCGUUUUCGUGUUCGUAUUUCAUACUUUUUACCCAAAAUGUCUGUUGUGCAUUAUAUCUGUUGCUGAUACUUGUCUGAUCCAUUUUCUCACUGCUUUUUAUUUUUAACCUAAACUUUAUCAUCGGUGAUUCUUCUUGGCGUGAGAUCGAUUUUUUUUUUUUUUUCCAGUUAAACUAAGUCUGCAUUCUUUUGAUCUUUACUCUUCGUCGUCUGCUUUUUUGAUCGAUUGACUUUUUUCUGUUUUUCGAUUAAGAAAUUGUAGUAGUUCUGUUCUUAUCCGUUUCAUUUUUUUCAAUACAUAUGUUCUUAGUUUAUUUUAAAAGAAAAAAAAUAAUUAAGCCUUCAAAUUAAUUAAAUAUUUGUUGCUGUUAAUAAUUCUUAAAAAUUGAGCUGAAAUUCUCGAAGAACAUGGUUUUUUCAACGCCCUUCCAUUUGUCGUUGCUACCAUGUGAUCGAUAUAACUUUUCGAUUUUGCUCCAAAAUAACCACGUUACCUGUAGCUACUCUCAAACAAAGUUUCCUUGUUUAUAAUUGUCAUGUUGAACGAGUAACUGAGCGUUUAAGGCCUAACUGCAAAAGUUUAUUUGAAGGCACUUUUGAAAAGUUUUAUUUCUUGUGUUUGUAGUGACUUUUUUUUUAUUUUAACAAGUAACAGUUAUUUUCAGUGCUCUAUUUGGGUUGCAAAAUCUCAACUCCAUACUAGCCAUAGUUUAAAUUUCUUGGUACUAAACUGGAGUAAUCUUUUAUACUUCCUAUGUAUAAUAUAUAUGUAUAUAUAUAUUCAUGAAUAUCUGGGCUAGCUGAGGCACACAUGAGCAUUUGGGUGUCAAGGAAACAGGCAGGAUAUUAAAUUCUACGUAGGUGGUCACCAUGAAUUGAAUCCAUAACCUCUCAACCAUUUUUCAAGGUCAAUAUAACCAUUUAUUAUCUUAAUAAAAAAGAGUUUGUGACUCCUCUAUGGAAAGUAAAAAAGAGCUAUAAACACAACCAGUAAUUAAAGUUACAAAUCAAAGGAGAGAAUGGAGAUAUAAUUAAGAAUUAAUAUAAAUUUGUUGAACAAGCGUAAGUCAACAGAGUCUAGGUGCUACUAUUCUGCUCUCAACCUUGUUUUAUUAUGUGAGUGUCGUAGAUGGUUUAAUUGAUUAAAAAGGCUUAGAGAAUGCUGAACUCAUUUUCCACCAGGCUGAUAUCUGCCAUGCUUAUCAAUUGUUGCGGAAAAAUGGGCUAAAAGAUGAGAACAUCAUAGUCUUCAUGUACGAUGACAUUGCCUUCAAUCCAGAGAACCCAAGACCUGGUGUCAUCAUCAACCAUCCAAAGGGUUCUGAUGUUUAUCAUGGAGUCCCGAAGGUUUUCUUUUUCUCGUUGCCCUAUCGAUUCUAAUUUUACGCCUGAUUCAUCUGAUGGUAGCUACUUAUGCACUCUACGUUUUGGCCAUGGCAGGAUUACACUGGUGAAGAUGUUACCGUGAACAACUUUUUUGCUGCCAUUCUUGGAAACAAAACUGCUCUUACAGGGGGUAGUGGGAAGGUUGUUGACAGUGGCCCUAAUGAUCAUAUUUUCAUAUACUACAGUGAUCAUGGUGGUCCUGGUGUGCUUGGUGAGUGGCUUGUUCUGUGUAGUUCGCAUACUAUUUGAGGUGACCUAUCAUGCUUAUCUGGCACCAUCUCUUUGGAUAUGUUUGUUGCUCGAUGUGCUUGAUUUAUAUCUGUAAACAAUAGCACGAUUAGUUUACAUUUCCAUAUUAUCUUUUAAAGGCAGCCAACCAACCAAAAUUCAAUCUUAAAAAGCGUGCUUUGAUUUGAAACUGAUAGUACAGCCUCAUUUACCUAGGAAACACUUAUUGGUAUCAUUAUUGUAAAAACAUUAAUCGAAGAUAAACUUGUGUUAGAUUUCUCUAACUAGUUUGUUACUUGAUGGAUAAGAAAUUUCUCAUCUCUGAUAUAUCUUGUUCAGGGAUGCCUACCUAUCCUUAUAUGUAUGCUGACGAUCUUAACAAAGUUCUAAAGAAGAAGCAUGCUGCUGGAUCCUACAAAAGUUUGGUAUAUUAUUGUACUGUUCAUUGCUUGAGACUGCAUCUGUCCUUAUAAUGUAACCAUAUAUAAUGAGAGUGGAACUGUUUGUAAUAUUUUAGGUAUUCUAUCUCGAAGCUUGUGAAUCAGGAAGUAUCUUUGAAGGUCUUCUUCCUGAAGGUUUGAACAUUUAUACAACGACUGCAUCAAAUGCUUAUGAAAGCAGUUGGGGUACUUAUUGUCCAGGGGAUUAUCCUAGUCCUCCACCAGAGUAUGAUACUUGCUUGGGUGACUUGUACAGUGUUGCUUGGUUGGAAGACAGGUAAAAAGAUAAUAGUAGGCUUGUUCUAUUGUUUUUAUACUUUGUUAUUUUGUUAUUUUGUUGUUUUUGUUUUUGUUUUUUGCUUGGUGUUUUAAUUUAUCAGUAAAAGAAAAUGAUAUCAAUGCCGAAAUCCAAAAGGUAAUGUUUUUUGAUGUUGUGCAACUUUGAUUUUGGGCAUUUGUUCUGAUUUCCAUGUUCUCAUCGUUAUAUGUACUGCCGCACCAUACUUCUGGUGUCUAGUGUUCUGUCAAGCCGAAGAAUGAGUCUCACAAAAUUAUUAGAUCCAAAAGCAGAUUAUUACCUUUUAAAUAAGGGAUCCAAACGCAAAUGACGUGAGUUAAAAUAAUGAGGAAGUGGUUUAUUUUAUUCAGAACCUCAAGAUUUUUACUUUCGUGCUGUAACAGUGAUAAUCACAAUUUGAAGACAGAAAGUUUACGCCAGCAAUACGAACUGGUAAGAAUACGUGGACCUCCGUUUUAGGAGAAAUCAACUUCCCAAGUUUAAAUUUGGUUCUUAAAAAUGAAAAAUUUUCUACCAGAUUUUUUCAUCCUUUUGUAAUUGUACUAAAUGUACCAAGUCUAAAGGACAUUUUAGUGUGUUUAUCAAAAUGAAAAAAAAUCCCAUUAUGCUCGUUUGAUCUGAUUUGAACUGUUGGUUUCUUCAGGUGAAAAAAAGGACGCUAAGUGGCCAAUAUGCCUAUGGUUCCCAUGUCAUGCAAUACGGUGAUCUAAUGCUCAACAAGAACGCUUUGUUCUCAUAUCUGGGUACUGAUCCUGCUAAUGAGAACAACACUUUUGUCGAGGAAAACUCCUUGAGGCCAGCUACAAAGUUCACCAAUCAGCGUGACGCUGAUCUGGUCCACUUUUGGGAGAAGGUUAGUUUCUUCUUUUUCUAUUUUCAAAUGGAUAAUAUAUGAACCCUGCUUGGUAUACUAGUAUAUAGUAAAUAAGUGAUAUUUUGAGGUUCGCCAAAUUGAUAAUAUUUCCUGUUUUAGAUAGUGAGAACAAAGCAUUCUUGUGCGUUAGAUCCAAUUUUUGAGACUUUUGUGGCAAUUUUUUAAAUACUACACUUGUCACCUCUCUAAUGUAGGGAUUGUAGUAUUUACUUGUUAAUCUUGGGUUUUUUCUUGCUUAAAAUUAAUUUUGGUUUCGACAUCAUUCAAGACCCUCUCACCCCAUCCGUGCUUGUUGAUCUUAGUUUCGCAAAGCUCCAGAAGGCUCCCUGACGAAAGUCGAAGCUCAGAAGAAGUUCGUGGAAGCAAUGUCCCAUAGAGCUCAUAUCGAUAACAGUGUGAAGCUAGUUGGAAAGCUGUUGUUUGGAAUUAAAGAAGGUCCUGAGGUGCUUGAAGCCAUCCGUCCCGCAGGAAGACCCCUUGUUGAUGACUGGAACUGUCUUAGGAAUAUGGUAUAAUUUCAAUAUAAUUGGAUACUGCACAGCCCAUUUCAGUCAACCAGUCAAAUGAUGUUUAGUUAUAUUUUUACUCAGUAUAAAAGUUAGUUAAUUCUGAAAUGAUUCAAUACAAACAGGUUAGGAGCUUUGAGGCACGUUGUGGAUCUCUGUCUCAGUACGGAAUGAAACACAUGAGAUCCUUUGCAAACCUAUGCAAUGCUGGAAUCAGCAAGGAGCAGAUGGCGGAGGCAUCGGCGCAAGCUUGCAUGAGUGUCCCUCCGGGCCCUUGGAGCUCUCUACUCAAGGGCUUCACUGCAUGAUGACGAAACCCAAGUCAGUCAUCGGAUUUGGAAGUACGUUUCUCCCACCAUUGUUUAUAUCACAUCUAUGUUCAAAUGGGUCUGUCGACGACAAGUCAUUUGUAAAUAGAACCACAGGCCAUUGUGUUAGGUGAGAAAAAAGGGGCAUAUAAUUGAAAUGUUGAACUGAAGAAAUACGCAUCUGUUUAUAAGAAGAAGGCUCUGGUUGUGUUGGCAAGAACGAUCAAAAUUCCAAAUGUAUUGAUUGUAUGUAGUAGAAUUAUGGUGUGCUUUUUACAUUGAAUGACAAUAUAUUUUCACAUGAAUACAAAAUUCCAACCUCCAAAAGAAGAAAAGUGAGAAAACAAAAAUGCAUGAUUGAAAUAUUGGUGAGAAAAGGCAUAAGAGGUGGGCUAUACUUAUAGAUGGGAUAUGGGUGAGAAGGGUAGGCUCCACUCCUUUCCUCCUUCACUUGUUUAAACUUUCGUCAAUUUUAAAAGUAGAAUGGGGAGUUUGUGGGUUGUGGUAGUUGAAAAUGGUUAGAUGUUUUGGUAUAGAAUUUAGUGGGGGAAGAGAUAAAUCCACAUAUUGGGAUUAUUGGGAUACUGUUUGUGUGUGUGUGUGUGUGUGUGUGCCCCCAUUCUCCACCUCCCUGGAUCCACAUUCUUCUAUUAUUCCCACUUUUGCACGCUUUGUUUCUUUCCUUUUAUUAUUUUAAUACCAUCUAAUUUCAUGUUCUUUAACUUUAUUGUUUUAAUACCAUCAAUUUAUAUUGUAAAAAAAAAAAAAAAAAGAGUUCCUUUUGCAUCUUAUCUGAAUGUGAAUGUUGGUUUCUAUACUAUAUUUGUAAUUUUUUUAAGAUAUAAUGAAAAUAUGAUUCACUCUUUCAUCAUCUUAAUAUUGAGUUUAGUUAGAUAGAAUAUGUAACAUUUGUCAUCUUAGUAAUUCUUUUAAUCGUGGCUUUAAAUUUACUUUAUUAUUUUCUCGUUGUUUAGUAAAGGGAUGGAAUAUCAAUUAUUGAAACUCGAUUUGGUUGUUUUGUUUAAACCCCAAAUUAUGAAUCAGAAUUGGUUCCAUACAUAAUUCUCAAAAUCUCAUAAUUCUCCAAGAAAAUAAAGAUUUCAAAUGUAGUUUCUGGUCUAUAGAACUUUAAGUUUUUUUACUUUUAGGCUUCAAUAAUUUUUUUGUUUGUUAAAAUAGUAUUCUUUCAAUUUUUUAUUAUAUAUAUAUAUAGUUCCUAGUUGAAAGGAAAAGUUGAUUAAGAGGUAUAUGUGAUGAUUUAAUAAUUUAUUCGAAUGAUUGUGUUUGAAGAAAUUAAACUAGUUGCCAACUAUAUGAAUCAAAUGAUUUUGAAUUCAAAGGUAAUAGUUAGGGAAUUGGAUAUUUUUUUUUUUCUAGUGGAGCAUCUAAUGAUACCUUUUUCAAUAUCAUUAUUACGGAGAUGAAAAUAAAAAAUUGACUCUUGAAUUAGAAUUAUGUCAAUUACUAACAAGCUAAAUUCACCUUUUCAUUAAGAGUCAACGAGACGAAAACUAAUAUGGAUACAUACUUUUGUUUAAAUUCAACGAGUAUGAUUUGAUUAUUUUGUUUCUUUUAAAAUGAGUAUGAUCUUAAUAUUACAAAAUACAAAUGGAUGGACAAAAGUUUCUUAUUAAAAAAUCAACCCCACUACUGAACAAAGGCACCAAAAGAAAAAGAAAAAAAAAAGAAGAAAAUCUUCUUCAUAUGCUCUCUCAUUUGGAAAAACGAAAAGGAACAAAAGUCUUUUUAUCUUUUUCUUUUUUUCCUUCUUAAAAAGUAGAUAAAACUUCAAAUAUGGAAAAGGUAAAUUCACAUAAUGACUAAAAGCAUUUUUAUUUCAUAACCUUUAUUUAUACAUAAAUACGCAUGUGCCUUUAUUGGUAAUCUUUCUUUGUUUUUGUUUUUUAAUUGGUUUUUAAAAACUAAAGUGUAUUUGGUAACUAAUUCACUUUUUAUUUUUAUUUUUUAAAAAAAAACUUUUUUUAAAAUUAUAAAGAAAAAUUGAAAAUGAAAGGACAUCUUUAAAAUAACAACAUUAUCAAAUAUAUAUGGUUUUUAUCUUUAUAAAAAAUUAGAAAAUAGAAAAAUGAAAACAAAAAUAAAAAUUGAAAUGGUUAACUAAACCUGUUCUAGAAGUUUAAAAAUAUAAUGAUAAUUAUAAAUAUGUUUGGAGAUUUUUAAAAGAAGAAGAAGAAAAUUGACGAAUUAUUUACGUAAUCCACUAAAAGUCAAAAUUUAUACACUUAUUUCUCUACUAAUGAUAAAUAUUCUAUUUGUAUGGUUUUUCCCUUUUUUCUUUUUUUGGUAGAGUGGGGGCUCGAAAAUGAAGUUUAAAUAAAGUUAUGUGAUGAACUAACAAUAGGCUAAAAAGAUAAAAUCUUAUUAAAUUUACAUAAUGUUUUUUAAAAAAACGAACUCAUUUAUUAAAUUUGAGGGUACAAUGGUGAGUUUGAUGUGAUUUUUUAGAAGUUAGGGAAGGAGUGGAAAGUGAAAAUAAAUAUAAGCUUAUAAUUAUUAAUAAACAUGAGAAAAGUGCUUUGCAUUAUUAGGAAGUUUACAACAAACUCUAAUUUUUAAUUUAACUUGUUUGUUUCUAAUUAAUAUAAUAUCAACUUGUCAAUAUUUGAACUUUUAUAUAACAUUUCAGUCCUUACAUAUUCUUUUAUAACUUUUAUAUUCUCCAUUUAAAUCCUUUGACUAAUUAAAACUUUUAUUAUGUAUAAGGAAAAUUUUAAAAAAUAAAAUUUAUAAUUAUUAAGUAAGCAAGUGAAUGGUACGAAACAUGUAAGCCUCAAAGUUAUUAUUUCAAUUUUAUUUUAUCAUCUUUUAAAACACGUUCGAUGUUGAUGAUCUAAGCUUUUUACAGUUCUUGGUAUAUGAUUGCAUGUGUAAAGAGUUUAAACCUCGAGUAGGGAAGUAGUUAUACUUUCCUUGAGGUCUUCAAUCAUGACAAGAUUUUUAAUUUUUAAAUUUUUAGAAUUAAAGUUUUCAUAUAUAUAAAAUAAAUUUAUUAAGUAAUUUUGUAUGAUUGACUCAAACGAAUGGUGUCUCGUUUAUAUAAUAUUAGGAUUUGUGGUAAAUAAUUUAUGGGAUGGUUUUGGAGAUGAAAAAAAAGUAAAAGAAUAUGAAGAAAUAUAGAGUUGCAUUUAAUGAUUGUAUUGUGGUGUUUUGAAACAUCACGACUCUCUUCCACAAAACGUUUUCUAAAAUCACAAUGGAUAAAGUCAAAUUGUUGGUGAAGAAUCCUUUGUUUUUUCCAUUAAUAAUUGUAUCUAUCAAAUUUAAACUUUAUCCAUUUUUAUAUUUUACAAAAAUCUACCUACCAAUCAUAAAUAAAAUUAAUUUACAUAUUAAUCAUAAUUAACUAAAAAAUGCAAUAAUACAUUAGAACACUACCACUACAGGUUUUAACUAUGCCAAAUUAGUUUUAAAACUUUGAAAUAUAUGUAUAUACAUUAUAUGGUAAAGUAUUGAGGUAGAUUUGUUAGAAUAUUAAUAAAAUAAAGUAUCUAAGUUGAAAAGAAGGUGAAGGGGAGGAAGACAUGCAAGGUGAUUGGAUUACAAACUAAUUACAAACUAGAUUUGAGAAGAAUAGUUUGAAUUUUGGGUAGUAGAAAAGGGAGAAGGUAAGAAUGAAUGGUAGAAAUAAAUAUUUGGUUAAAGGAAACCCUAAUAUAAAUGUUUAUAAAAGAAUGAAUUGAAGGGGUCAUUGAUUGCAGUGAAAUGAAAGUAUUGAAAGUUCAAUAAUUUGGAGAGCCCCAUGGGACGUAUAAUCGGUUUGGGUAUUGACCGGAUACGACAUUACGAAAGCACUUUUAUUCAAAUGCUUUAACCAUGGUUAAUACUCCAAACUAACCAUAGUUAAGUACCCUUCCCGGUUCUAUCUAACCUCUAACCUCUAACCUCUAACCUCUAAGCUCCAAAGCUCUAAAGCUCCAUCACAUCGGCGGUUCCACACGAAAACAAAACUUAAAUAAUAAUAUAAAAGAAUAUUUUAUUUUAUUUUUGUUAGGAGAAUGAACGGACGUUAAAGAUUCCGUCAAAUUGGUUAACGCGGGGGGAUAAACGUAACGGUCGAUUGGAGAAGAGAGGAAGGAGCGGGACUCUCAGUGGACGGAAAAGCAGAUGAUGAAGCAGAGCCGGACGAUGGUUUGAUGGACGGUCAUAGAUGGAUAUUGCUGAACGGUUUAAGCGAUGUGGGACUUGGAAGAGCGUAUAAAAAUAGAGAGUUGAAAGGGUGAGAGGCCAUUUCGUUGUAUCAUUGAGGAAGGACCUCUCUGUACUACUUCUCUUUAAACUUCCCUUCUAACUCUUUCUCUCUCUCUCUCUUUCUCUUUCUCUUUCUCUUCUACAUAUUUAUAUUUCUUUCUCUUGAUGUCUCUGUAAUUAUUUCCUUCAUUUGAAGCUUUCAAAACCACCCAACAGCUUAAAAUUUUGAUAGUAUUACUGGGUUAAUCGAUCUAAGAUGGCUCGGGUCAUUGACGACUUUUAAGGCAUUGAAAUUGUUGUAAGAGAUGAGAUAAUCGACGGGGGGGAAUUUGAAUCUGGGGUCUGUUUUCUUGGCUGAUUCUGUAAUUGAUUUUUUUUUUUUUAAUAAAUUCGGAGUUGAAUUUUUGGAGAAGAGACUUUGAGUUUUGAAGGUUUGAUAAUUGAAAUCAAUUCACUGUUUAAGGUCUUUGUUGUUCUGGGUUUAGAUCUUAUCUUCUGAAAUUAGUUUCUAACUCUUGAAAUUUUCGUUGUGCAGAUAAAUACAGAGCGAUUUUAGUUGUUCGUUUGAGGGGUUUCUAAGAGAUUUGUUACCUUUUUUGAAAGUGGAAGAAGAAUUGGACUGAGAAAAAUGCAAGCGAUUAUCGGACUCUGGGAUUCGGAUUUACAUUUCGCUUGUUUUCUGCGGUGAAAUAAGCAGAUUUCUGUUCUUUGGAAGAGCUGAUUCUUGGGGGGGAGGGGGGCAAACCCAGAUCAGAAAUUUCAGGUACUGAUUGGUUAUCUUCUUGGUGUAUUUUGUAGGCUCUGUUCUUUCUGUUCUAAUUAUUUUCGUCCGAAAUUUCAGGUCUGAUUUUCUUCCUGUUCAUUGCUACCUUCAGCAUCCAAUAGCUAUCGCUUCCUCCUCUGUUCGAAUUCUUAGGGUCUGAUAAUAUGCUUUCAGAAUUUAAAAAUUCGAGUUGCUUCUUCCAUGGAAGGAUCUUCUAUCUCUCUGUGAGCCAUUGGGAAAUCUGGAUCCCCUGUUUCCAUGUGAAAUUCUUCUUGUUUCUUUGAGUUCCUCACAUUUUCAAGAUUUUCCCUCAAAUUUCCUCUUAAUUUCAGACCCAGCGUCUUCCCAAUACUUUUCUUCAGAAACCCAGACCAGUUCGGCUUUUCAAAUUUCGUGAAUUCCGUCUUCGGAUCAUCGAGAAAACCCCAUGUUCUGGUCUCUGACUGUUUGAUGUUCUCCUCGAGUAAAGUUUUUACAGUGUUGAUGGCGAAAACGUCAUAUUUCAGUGCUUGAAAUUUCUAAUCACCUUUGCUCUGUCCAUUUUUCUUCGUAACUUCGGGAUUUUCAUCCGAAUCCAAUUGACUGCAGAACCUGCUUUUUAUCCAUUUCCCCUUUCGUUUCUCUUUGCUACUUUAAUUGUAGAAUCUUCUGAGUAAUCUUUCUUCAGACUAACCCCCUUUUGAAAUGGGACAGGUAGUGUAUAUAUAAUUAAGCAUAUGGAGAAAGAAAAUCUCAGAAUCAAUAGCCAUGGCAAUUUCGUUAGUAAUAAUCUCAACGGGAGGGAUAGAACCAGCGUGGACAGCUCGCUGUUGUUGCGAGCGAGAUCCGAAGCCGCCGUUGUCGCCGUCGCAACGAGACCGCAGCCAACGCCGUCGGAAUUUGUGUUACAAUGGGGAAACCGGAAGCGUCUCCGGUGUAUGAAAGUUCCGGUUAAGGCCAAGGAUGUUUCCGCCGCAGCACCGGCUCACAGAACCACCGUCCGAGUGGACCGGCGAGUCGUUAGAGCCGAUAAAGACUCGAUUAUACAUAACCACCAACCAACUUCUAAUCAUAACCUUAAUCCGAGUAAUGGGUAUUUGAAUCUCCGUCAACGGCCGAUUUCUCCUCAACCGCCAGUUCUACCGCCGCCGCCAGCUCCAUCUCAGCGUAUUCUAAGGUACUCUCUGUUUCUCUCUCUUUUCUUCAACGCCAAUCUUUCGUAAUUUCUUUUUUAAUCUCUUUGAUCGUUCAAAUCUCAUCCGAUAUUUGAGAUUCCUUUUUCCCGGCUAUGGGAUUCAAAAUCCCGAUGUAUUCUUUUAAAUGGGCCUUUCUAUUUGGGCUUUUAUUUUAUUGGGCUUUUUAUUUGCUUGCUGUAACGCACUGCAUAUCUAAAUAUCUAAGAAACAUAUUAUCGCUAUUUAUAUACUCAUAUCAUAAUCAAUAUUUGACAACAUAGUCUAUGAUUAACACUUAUUGGCUACAUUAUUGUAAAAAAAAAUUCAAUAAUCUUUCUUUUUCAAACAAUAAAAAAAUAAUUGUAUAAAUGCAACUUGGUAUUGGAAUCUGAUGAAAUGAUGAACCAAACAUUGAAGGACGCAAUUUAGCCUCGUUGAUUAGGACACGUCUUCCAUUUCUUCCACGUGUCGUUUUCACUGUGGAAUAAUAGCCGUCGGAUCAUCAAUCGCAGUGACCACUGGUGUCCCCAGAGUGUCUCCAGAUCGGCUGCCCUGGAGCGGACACGUAAUCUCGAACUUGUAGAUCCAAAGGCUGAGGUUGGGGCGAGGUAGUCAUGAUUUGAAAAGACAGGUUUGUCCUUAAGAAAAAUCUAAGCCAUUGAAUGAAAGAAUAGAGACGAAGUCCCCCAUUUUGUACGCAAAUUCUAAGCCAGAUUUCCCCCAACGAACUCCAACAUCCUCCAAGGUCAUUCCCGUAAUUUCAGCCCACGAACGUAAAUAAAUUAAAUUUGCUUUUCUUCUUUUUUCCCUUUUUUUUUUUCUUCUUCUUUAAUGAGUAAUCUUUCAAUCUUUCGUGAGAUUUGUUCUUUAGGCCUUUUGUUUUGGUAAUCUAUGUGUGUAUGUCUUGUGGGGUUGGGAGUCUUUUUUUUAAAAAAAAGAACUUUUUGGUGAAACUAAGUAGUAAACAAACAGAGACUGAGUUUUUGUUUUUAAAAAAAUUUGAUUAGGAACUCUGAGAUUUCCGGUACGAUGAGAGCCCAAUCCAACGGCGGUGUCAGAGCAAUUACUUCUCCGGACAGGGCAGCGCCGGAGAAAAAACCACCACCGUCUCAUCACGACCACCACCAUAAAUCCGCCGCUACCUCAGACACAAAAAAAGGUGGGUCAUCUUCCGGCAGCGGAGAACCAACUGCACCGCCGCAAGCGCUGCCGGUUUGGCCACCGAAGUUCGUAAUAGCUUUAACGAACAAAGAGAAGGAAGAAGAUUUCAUGGCGAUCAAAGGGUCAAAACUGCCUCAGAGACCUAAAAAACGAGCAAAAAUUAUUCAACGCACCAUCAAUGUAAGCAAAACACCAAUCCCCCCGUCUUUACUUUUCCAGAUUCGUUCUCUACCUUUUCUUUUAUUGGUUUUAAUUACUUUUUCUUCCUUAGUUACGAACUGAUUCUCAUGCGCUAUAAUUAUUAAUUAUUAAUUAUUAAUUAUUAAUAUCAUUAUUACUUCUGCUUUAAUUAUUUAUUUGAACCCUAAUUUUCUUUUAAUUUUCACCGAAUAUUUAUUUCCUAGUAAUUAUUCAAUGAGAGCAUUAAUUGAAAAUAAAACGAAAAAGGGGGGUGUGGGGGUGAGAGAGAGAUAUUAAGGGGAGAGUUGUGGCAAUGGAAGGUUGAUGGAAUGCCACGUGGAGAGAUAUGGUUUGAGUGUUAUUUACCGGAAAUGAAGGCAUUGUGUGUGGGUGAAUGAAUGGUUUAACCAAUUACUAGUCGACAGAUAGACAAUCGCUGAGUUGUCCCAUCCUCGCCUUCAACAGUUGGGAGUCCUUUGGGUUUCUUUUUCUUUUAUCUAAAUAAUCAUGUUCACAUUCAACCUUACUUUUUGUAAUAAAUUCUUAAUUUCCCUCUUCCCUUUUACUUUUCUAUAAAUAAUAUUUGUAAAAGUAUAUUACAUUUUGUUCAGGAUUUAUUUAAUUUGUGUGUUGGUUUGGUGUUUGGUGUUUGGUGUUUGCUAUUUGGUGGUGGCAGCUGGUGAGUCCGGGGACGUGGCUAUGUGAUUUAACGUUGGAGAGAUACGAAGUAAGGGAGAAGAAAAUUUCUAAAAAGGUAUGUAUUUUUUUUCUUCUAUUUUUUGUGUUUAUUAAUUUGUGAAUUGUAAGAAUUGAUUCUUGUUAUUUGAAUGUGUUUGGGAUGCAGAGACCAAGAGGGCUUAAGGCAAUAGUGAACAUGGAGUCGGAGUCCGAGUGAGGAAAAGAGGAGAGUUUCUGAUCACAUACCAAAUUAAUUUAGAACCACUGUUUUGUUGUGAUUUUGUGGAGAGGAGGGGAAGAAGCUUUUAAUUAUGUGAAUUACAUAAAUAUAAAAUAUAUAUAUAUAUAUAUAAGUUGUAGAUUUUCUCUUGGCUAAUUGAUUUUAUUAGCAUAAUGAAAUUGUAAUUAUUCUAAUUUUUUAGUUCUAAGUUGAUCCUUUUGAUAACGGUUUUCAAGUAGAAAUUACCAAUUCUUAGAUUGAAAAUAGAAAUGAGGGUGGAAGCUACAUUUGUUUAUGGAUUAAAGAGCUUUUUCUUUUUUUCUUUUGUGUAAAGAUAUAUUGGCUUAUCAACUAACUUUUAGAAAAACAAAUCCUCCAAGAAUGAAAAAAACUCGGAUUAUCACUUUACUACAACUGCGUCAGUUGAUUCUCUAUCUUUUUUUUUUUCUUUCUCCUCAUCCUUCUUCACAUACUAAAUCAAAAGCCUAAUUUCCCGAAGUUCCCAACUUUAAUUUCCCACACUUUACACCCACCCCUUCCUCUCCUUCAAACUAUUUCUUUCUUCAACAUAUUUUUUCUUAAAAUUAACACAAAAAAAAAAAAAAGUUUCAUACAAUAACUUAUGAUAACAACUUACGUAAACAGUAGAAGGUAUUUCCUUUGGUUUGACAAAAUCAUAGAGAAUAAUGAAACUAUUAUUUUAUAAUGAAAUUCUUCAAAUGGUAGAGACUAAACUACAACUCUCUUUGAAUCAUAUUUAUUGUUAAUUAGCUAGUUUUAUGAUUUAUAAAUAUAUUACAAACACGUUAAACAAAUUUUAAAAUUAUAAUCUAAUUGAAUUUGUUUCCAAACACAUAUUUAAGAUAAAACAUAAAACAUGAAAUUAAGGAGAGGAAGAACUCUAUGUUACCAAAAUACUUUUCUUCUAACUUUUACAGAAAAAACAUUCUUAGAUUUAAACAUAAUUUUAAAUCUAUAAUGGCUGGAUUGCCAUGGUAUUAAAAAAUUAAAUGUAAAUCAUAAAAAGCUAAUAUUGCAAUAUUUAGAAUUGUAAAUUUCUUGAAACAAUCAAAUAAACUUCAUGUGAGUUCAAAAGGGUAUGCAAAAUAAAUUCUAUCGAGUAUAUAAAAUAAAAAGAAUGAAUAAAGAAAAGGAAAAAAGAACUCAAAAUGAAAAUAUAUUUGAGUUGAGCAUCACAAAGAUCACAAGUAGACUUUAUUAGUGGACAACAGAAAUCAACCAAUAUACCAUUUCAUUAAUAUAAAUAAUUCUCUAUAUGCUUUGGAUUCGUCCUUCUUAGAGAAGAAAAAAGAAAAGCAAAAAAGGCAACCAUGUUCUUGUCAUCAAUUCUCUAGCUGUAAAAAUUGCCAACCAUAAAAUUAUUGGCACCUUUCCCUUUCGGGUUUUCAUUAUUCAUUGCACAUGCCUCGCUGCCCCACAAAUUCUACUUCAAUUGGACUUCUGUUGGUCCAGAUUUCAAAUUAUUAAAUAUGCCUUACAAAUCUUGGAAUUCCACAAUUUAAUAAUCCUCAACUUAAUUCGGUAGUACACAAAAUGAUUUCUGAUGGGGUUUUUUUUUUCUCUCUCUCUCUCUCUCUUCAAGAAGAAAUUAAUCAAUCAAUUACAGUGAGAAUUACCAAAUUGUUUUGGCUAAGCGAAGAAUCUCAAAGAAAUUGUUGCAGUUAGAUAUAAUAAGCGAGUGUGUUCGUAUGAAUGAAUGCAUGAAAGAGUAAAGAAGAAGAGAGUAUUUAAAAAGAACGAAACAAUUUAUUUACUAAUCAUAACCAACAAAAUAUAGCACAAUCGUGAACAAACCAACACAACCUGCAUUCUAUAUAUAAGAAUGUGUAAACAAAAGAGGUCGUCUGUACCAAACGUGUAGAAAUUAAAGUCCCUUAGAAAAACAUCUAAAACAAAUUCCUCCGCGGCGCAAGGUUUUAGUUGAAGAGAGAAAAGAAAAAGAAAAAGGAAAAGCAGACCAUCACAAAUACAUGGAAGAGUCCAUGGCAAAAUCAAUCACCACAUCCGAAGGCCGGUAGCUCAGAUCCUGAGAGUAGAUCCGAAGGCGAGAGCAAGGAAAGCAGCAAGGCAAGCGGAGACGGCCGAAGGAGCAAUGGAGGUGGCAGGGGAGGCCGGACUGGGAGCCGGAGCCUCCUGAGCGGCGACGGAGGAAAGGGCGAAGAUGAGGGCAAUGAGAGCGAGGAGAGAAACUUUGGAGAGGGCGGCCAUUGGGUAAAAGAGGUAAUGGGGGCGGGGGGUUAGGGUUGAGGCGGGAGAGAGGAGAGAGGAGAGAACCGUUUGAUUGGGAAAUGAGAAAGGGAAAUAGUAGAAGGAGAGAUAUAUAGAGAGAAACGGGGAGGUGCAAGCUGGCGAAUGGUUGAAAGACAG
RNAcentral lists this long non-coding RNA (62537 nucleotides) under Cucumis sativus (cucumber). RNAcentral's name for it is "long non-coding RNA (CSAT_LNC000712)". The record is from RNAcentral. Lineage: Eukaryota; Viridiplantae; Streptophyta; Magnoliopsida; Cucurbitales; Cucurbitaceae.